GGGGCUUCCAUGUGGGUGGAGAGGGCAACACGUCCCCCUAGGCUGGCAGGUUGGUGCUGCGCGAGGAGAGUGGGCCGGUAGUGGGUGUGGCCCAGGAGCCCAGGCUGCCUACAGAGCUCUGGGAGACUCAGGGUGCGGGCUUGGCUGCAGCGUCGCGUGGGGUAGGAGGGGGCGUAAAGCCCGAGUGAUCUCAAAAAGGAGUGUGCAGACCUGAAAAUGUCAGGUUCUGCCUGUGGAGGGGUUGGCCCCAGGAAAGCAGUGUCUGCUGCUGGCAACCGCUUGCGUGUGUGUGUGUGUGUGUGUGUGUGUGUGUGUGUGUGUGUGUGUGGCCUGCGUGUUGAGCACAGGUUCUGUCCUUGCUAAGGAAUGAUUUGAUGCCUCAUUGAGUCCGACACCUCCGGGCCUGGCUGGAGGAUCCGCAAGGCGGGGUGGGGGGCGGUAGUGGUGGUGGUGGUGACAGCGAACCUGCUUCCCACUUGGCUUGACGAUAGCUUGCUCCUACCCCAUGGGUAGGGGAAUCCCGCAAGGUGCAGCGACUGCGGGUGGCUGGAGACUCGUAGCGUGGGCGGCACUGUGGUGGCCGCUGGCAAUGGCGGCCCCCGGCUAAGCCCCUCCUUCCCGGGAAGUGGAGCCUGGAGUAAGCCUGGGUGGACGCGGGCGGGUGGGGAUGGGCGCUCGGGUGGGGUGGGAGAGCUGCUGGAAGAGAAAUGCUAACAUCUACCUUUCCUGAAAGAGCCCGCAUAGCCCAAUUCGGCUGGGUGACAGCCCUGGGCCAGGCAAUCUCUUUUAAGGAAAUUCACAUGGACCAAUCAGGUUCUCUUGGCCUCCUGCCCUCUCUGCCGCAUUUUCUCCCCCUUUUCUGGUAGGAGGGAGCAGGGGCACGCUGUGUUUUCUUGGCAGCCAGUCAGCAGGGACUUUUGGGGACAGGCAGACCUGACGGAUGUGACUCUACUGGUCAGGAGAGGCGGGAAGCCAGAGAAGGGGAGGUGGUUUGGGGCCGGGGGUGGGGGAAAUGGCAACGGACCAGCUGACCUUUUUGGCACACACUUCUUGCUGACCCUAUCCCCACUUUCUCCUGGAGCUUUCUCUGAUCAGAAGUGAACGGUUCCACGCACUCCCAUAAUGCAGGAACCGAACUCAGGAGCAGAAAGCUAAUCCUAAGCAGACUUUCGGAACUCCAGGGCCAGAGCAGGCCGUCAGAGCAGAUGAGGCUCUGAGCCAGGCUGAUAAGCAUGCCCCUUGCCUCUGCUCUUGCUGGACGUUUUUGGGAGCUGACAGCUUUGAGGGAAGGCUGCGGGAGGAAGGCAGGUUUCCUUGGGUGCUCCCGGAUUGUCCCUGCUGGAAUUGGGAGCCCUGUUCCUUUUCUGUGUUAAUCCUAGGUUUUAUCCAGGGGGCUCUGAAUGGGGAUGGGCACCAUGGUGACCCCAUGAGGGUUUCCCCUUGGCCUGGGUACUGGGGCUCCUGAGGUGUGGUGGGUGGUAUAUGAGGGACAGGACAGUGAGUCGGAGUGUGACACACACCCUGAUGAGGAGGACCUGAGGAAUGAAUGGGAAGGAGGGGAGAUGCUGGGAUUGUUCACAGCUGGGCUGCUGCUCUGCCUUUGCCCAUCUGGCCUUCCAUUAGCAUUGUUGGAGGGCUGGCAGUGGGCAGGCUUGGGAAACGUGAUUCACUACCCUGUGCCCUGAAAAAUGUUCUCCAGCUUCUCUGUGAGGGGCCACCUCCUGUGCCCUGGAGACCUGGCUUCCCCUGGCCACCCGCCUAUGAGGCCCACCCCCCCCUUCCCCUCAGCCGACCCUGUAAACUGACCACAGUGCGGCGUGGGAGGGCUGCAGAGGGAGCAGCCUGCUCCUGGGUGGACUCUCCGGGGUACACUGCUUGCCCUGUCCUUGUUGGGGCCCACGAUUGCUGGGAGCUCUUCUCUGUCACAGGUGGCAGAGCCUUGUUCUCAAAACCUCCCUCUGACAUCAAAGUGACUUUGGCAAAAGUUCCUUUGCCUUCUUUGGACCAUAUCCCCACUCUCCUAUUGACAUGGUAAUCAUUCACCUGCUAGGAAGGACCCUUGCUAAUGGCUUUAGGACAGUGUCAGAUGUGCCCUCUGCUGGCUCACUGUUCUAGAGUCUAAUGUUUAUCAUUAGAAGACAUUCAGUGGCAAGUGGAUUUCAAUGGUGAGCUGACCUUAGGGGUCCUGCCUUAAUUCAGAAAAUUUUUGGCAGGAGGCUGGGUGUGCAGUGGCCACAGCCACAGGUUUUAAAGUCUUGUAGAUAUCACAGGUAUCUCUUAUGUCACUGGUUGGAUGACCUAGUCCAUUAAUCUCCCUGAGCCUCAGUGUUCCCAUCUGUAAAAAUGGGCACAGACAACUGGAAGAAUAUUUGUGAACAUUAAAAAUAAAAUGUGUGUUGUACAAUGUAAGGCAAACAAGGAACAAAUAAUCAAAUUAGUUACUUAUACUGCUGACCCAAGAGACAGAGCAUGCUGAAAUUAGUUCCCAUGGCCUCUAAGUGAGAAAAGACAUAACUUAUUCUCUCAAGUUCACCAGAAAGUGUCAGUCCGUUUCUUGGGAACGUCAGAGAGUGUGUCACAUGCCUCUUAGGAUCCCAGGUGCAGUGAGGUAGCAGUGUGACCACCUGCCAAGGGACCCUGCAGCCCAGGUGUGACACACCCACUGUCAGUGACAAUAGCCACACAAUAACAAUAAUGACAGCUACUCACAUGGCACUGCUACAUGCCAGGAAUUGCUCUAAGGGCUUUACAUAAAAUUACUUGUUCUCACAAUGAGAUAAGUGUGACUGUCCCCAUUUUACCCUCAAGGAAAUUGCAGCAGGGUGAUGUGGUAACCUUGUGAGCAGCAGAGGUAGCAUUAGAGAAUUAGAGCUUGGACAGUCUGGCUCUGGACACCACCCCCUUAGCCACAAUGCUGUGCAGAGAUAGCACAGAGACUGCCUGAUGACCUGUGGGCCUUCAUGCAUAGGAACACAGUGGUAACUACUGAGUUUGAUGGGUGUGGCAAGCAAUAUAUUGCAGCUUUCUCCACGCCCUGAGUGGCAGAGCAGGGAGCCCAGCCAGAUGGGCGCCAAGCCUGGGGGAUCUGCCUUCUUCUCCAACCUAAUAUGCUAGCAGAUCUGUAGGACAAAUGAGACAUGGGCUGGACUUUGGGGAUGUCACAGUCUGGUUGAGGAGGCAUAAUUUACGACGUGCCCAGUGGAGAACAACACAAAGAAGGCUCAGGGAUAUCCUUGGAGGUGGGAACUCAACGUGCUAGAAGGAAGGGAAGGAUCUCUUAGAGAAGGCAGGCCUUGGAGAUGGGCUUUGGAGAUAGGCAGGAGCGGCUAGUGAAGGAGGGGAAGAUUAAGAGCAGAAUCCUGCAGUGGUUCCCAGUGAGAGUGGAGGUCACUUCAUGCAACAAGUGUUUGCUCCUGAUCUUGAAUCUCUGUAUACAGAGGCGAAGAAAAGAAAGAACAAAGGCUUUGCAGUUGAAGGGGAGGACAUGCUGGUUUCCUAGGGGAUGGAGGGAAACUCUGGACAUACAGGGAAACAGUCCCCACAGCUUGUUUUCUUAGCCAGAAGCUCCCCUUAGCCCUCGACUUCUUUCCAUUUCCCCUCAAGCCUGCUCCCCAUCUCCAUCAAGUGUGAAAAGAUUUAAUUUAGCCAGCAAAGAGCUGUUAGGUGCAGCCCCAAUGCUGACCCUUCAGCCCCCUCCUUUGGAGGUACCCACACACCUGCAGCUGUUUCUCAGCCUUUUGUAGAGGAAACUGUGCUUGACAGCCACAUGUUUCUCCUGGGCCCCUUUCCUGGUGCUCAAGUGUCCUGGGCCUUCCCAACACCCACUGUGCAUAGUAGCGUCUGCUCUGUGCAGUGUGCACGAAUCAUGGCCAUGGGCUAAGAACUGGAGAACAACUCUGAACCCUCUACUGACCAAAUUCAGAUAAGGGACACCCCUGAGCUAUUUGAGGAGAAAGCUGGGCCUGUUUUUAAGAAGCAGUUGCAGGGGAGAAAAUUAUACAUGUAAUCCUUUGAUAUUUCCCCUUUGGAGGAGCUAGUGUUCAGCUUGCAAGUUUUUCCUUUAAAGAAGUAAUUAGAAGCACUCAAAAUGCUCUGCUAGUGUCUGGGAGUGUUUCAGAUGUUUAAAAAGAAAAGCUCGGUGAGGCCCCCGGGAAGAGUGCACGGCUACAACCUGUUACAACUUUGCCCCGUUUCGUUUUGAUUAGAAUCCUUGCCCCGUCAUCGAAGUUGACUAUGGAUUUGAUUAGUGGAUUUUUCUGCUAUUGUGUUUUUCGUGUUUUUCUUUUUCUCUGUUCACAGUGGGGCAUGUAUAGUGUGGUUAUCUGCCAACAUGCCAGAAUGUUUAUAGUUCACAUAUUAUUGCUUAUGCCAUGGGUUAAUUGUCUAAAGACACUCUAAGGGUGGUACUGGCGGCUUAUGCAGGGUAUCGUUAUGUGUGUAUAAGUUGGUGUAUAAAUACAUCUUCUGGGUAUGUGUGUAUGCACGUUUCUACACACAUACACAAACAUAUCCACAUGGAACAGUUUAAAGUAUUGAGCACAUGUAAGCAUAUGCACACAUCAAAGGCCAGGCUGGAUGAGCUACAGCCCAAAUUCUAGCUCUCAGAAUAGCUGUGUCUGCUUUCCGCUUCUCACAUGCUCUUCCUGCAUAACCAAGACUGAAAGCACCAAUCCCCGUGUCCACUUUAUUUACUUACAAGACAGGAGGGCUGUAGCCCUGAAGAGAGGUGUUUCUGUCAAGCCUCAGACAAUCUCCCAAAGCCAGCCUGGGGAAGCCAAACCACCCAGCAAGAUGCUGGCUUGCGGUCAGAAAUUUCUAUUUUUUAAAACCAGCCUCAGCAGCAGGGGAGCGAACACUUAUGAAGCAACCGUUAUGUAUCAGGUCAUCUGCGGUGCUUUUUAUAUGUUUAUUGUUUAAGACACAGGAAACAGAGUAAGAUGUGAAAUGGUUGAUGCAUUUUAUGCACGAGACUGAAGCCAAGGGAAAUUAUCACUUGGAGGCAGUUGUGCGCAGUAAAUUAGGCUUUCCUGAGAGACAGAUCUGCAUUCAAAUCCAGCCUUUGAACAAAUUUCUGACUAUCUCUAGACUUCAGGUUUUCAUGUGUGACCCAGAAUUGCUGACAUGUAUCGAUUGGCUCUGAGGAUUCAGUGAGAUAUUACAGGUAGAUUUCUGAGCCCAGAUGGCCCAUACAAAGCAAGGAGUAUGUGCUGUUACCUCUUUUUAUUAUCCACGGUCAGCUCCAAGCUUGGCAUAUGGGUCGCUCAUUUCAAGCCCACAUUCUUUCCAUCCUACCUCUGUGCCUCCGAGAUGCAUGGCUGAUUCCACGGAGGGACAGAAGGCUUUGCACUGUGAAAGAAGAGAGUGUCGUAGGGCUGUGGUAAAAUGCACGGGAGCCAGAGUAAAUGAAGAGUGAUGUCAUCCAAAGAAGUCAUAUCCAGAGUUGUUCACUGGGGUCUCUGUUUUGGUUCCUGUGAGACCACCUCUAUAACACUAACCAAGCUGAGGGAUCUGCUGUAAACUCCAUGUGUGGGAGGCCUCCUCUGUGUACUCACCUGAGCUGGUUUGGUUGAGGGCAGCUGCUCAAUCCAAUGGCCCAGACCCAAAAUGGAACAGUCCUGCUGCUUGGGCUUUGUAAUGGCUUCUUGCUGUUCUGAGGGCAGAAGGAAAGUGCUUUUCCCUCACAGCUGCUGUGAUUGUCUUGGGAGCUGGACCUUGUGACCACUUUGGACAUUCAGGUGCCCCAAGGCCUGGCCAGCUGCCCAGGGGUGUUUUACUAGUAGCCACAGGGCCCAUGUCAAUGGCUGCUCUGUCUUGUGAUCACGCUGGUCAAGGAAAUGGACAGUGUGUUCUUAGACUGUCUUGAGUAGAAUGGGCCCAUGUGAUUAUGGGAACAAAACCUGGUCAGGCUUUUGUGGUCCAGUCUGUAUGCCAGACAAUAGGGAGUGACUCAAAGGUUUUCACAGGAACCCCGAGACACCCACACAAAACCUCCCGAAUGACUCAUGACUCAGUGCCCCCUUUCUCAAGGAAAACAGACCCUCCCUUGUGUUUUGCAAACAGUGACCCCACAACCUCUGAAUAUUUCGUUUCUCCUUCCAUGUGAAACCUUAAUACCACCAAUGAAUUUGGAAUUGUUCCCCACUCCCCACCCCACCUUACUGGGAGAGAAGAUAGGGUGGAAGUGGAGGGUUGGUUGAGAUAAUUAUGAGGCUUCUUGGCCUUUGAAAAAUUCACUUACUCAUGGCAGAGUGGCACUAUACAUGUAUUUAUAAUAAUAGUCAUUGACACUGAUUGAACACAGCAGUCUACUGCAUAGCACUAGACCUGUGUCAUUUCACUUAAUCUGCACAGUGUCCCAUGAAGUAGGUGCUACUUCCUGUAAAGAACUAGAAAUGACAGCUCGGGGAGUCAAAAACUUUGUUUCUAGUUUGAUCUUCUGGGACCCUUUGCUGUGUGACCUUAAACAAGUCACAUUGUGUUCCUUGGCUUCUGGUUACUUCACUUAUAAAAUGAAGAUGAUGGUACCUUCUUUAUCCUCUUUGAAGAAUUAAUGUGAAGAUUAAUAGAGGCAAUUAUCAUGGACAAGACACUGGCUUAAGCAUUUUACUCUUCAUAUGCCCUAAAAUAAGGCUCAGAGAGAUUAAACUAUUAUCUUAAGUAGCACAGCUGGUAAGUAGGCUGCCCAGAAUUGGAAUCCCUGCCUCUUUGAUUACCUGAAUAGAUGUUCUUAAAUAGCUAGUGAGAGCACUUUGAAAAAAAUACCUGAAGAUGCAUUGUUAAUACUGAAUCAAAGUAAAUUUCUCUAAAAUUUCCUUUGGCUUCUUAUGCCACUUGACUGUUUCCAAACUCCUUCCCCUAGUGUUUGGAAAUGUUGAAAAUAUUCUUUUGAUAUUAAUAAUAUUAGUUGCUUAAUAAUGGUUAAAUCCUUCUGGUCCAAGUCUUCUGAGGCUUCAAGGCCCAUUAAGGGUUAUCACUGAGUAUAAUUGGCAAGAGUAGUUCUUGACAGAGAGCAGGAAAAAUGGAGAAUUGAUUCAAAUCAUUUGUUUGUGUGUGGAAGUGAGAAAUGUCUGAGCUAAUCCUUCCUUAGACCAUCAGCCUGGGAUCUUCACACCUGUCACUAUCAUGAAACACAUACAUAUACACACAUCAAAAGAUAGGUAAAGGAUUCUUCUAGAAAAGAGACCAAAGAGCUAUGGCAGCCACACCCAAUGAGAGUCCCACGACUACAUUACAUCCUGGAUAAGCAAAAAUAAAAAUGUUAGGAAGGCCAUUUUGGAGAUUUCUGCAUGUGGAGGGUUGCAUAUUUGAUAGUGUUGCUGGUGCAGUGUUAAUGGAGUUGAGAUUAUGUAAGAAAAUAGCCAUUCUUGGAGAGACUCACACAGGAAUAUUUAGAAGUAAAGUGUCUUGAUGUCUGUAACUAAUUCCAGAUAGUUUAGGUGAAAAUAAGGUGAGACUACCUGCGAGCUAAAGAGAAAUCAAAUGCCACAAAAUGUUAACAACUAGUGAACGUAGACGAGGAUACACAUGUACAAUCUUAAGAUUUUUUCUGAGUCUUGAAAUUUUUCAAAAUAAAGCAUUGGAAAAAAAUAAAGCCUGGGUAAAUGGUAAUUCUUACCAAAGUCCUUGGUAUAAUGUACCCAUGGGCACAUAAAUGAAAUAAUGUGUGUGUGUGUGUGUGUGUGUGUGUGUGUGUGUGUGUGUGUGUAUGAACUCACAGUAGCCUGGCCAGGUCUGUUUCACUAUGUUCAGGUUUCUUUCAUUCCUUUUUCUUCCAUGAGAAUGAUUGUAGACAUUCUGGGUAAUCACCAGAUCCAAUAUCAUUUGGUGAUCUUUUAUAAAUAUCUAAGCUUUUUCCAAGGUGAUAAGUGUAAACAAAACCCCCACAGAGCUCUAUGAGGCCAGAUACUGAAAGGGUAAGGAAUAUGAGUGGCAGGGAACUUUUCUCCACUUCGACCUUUUCCCUCUCCUUUCUUCUUUGGUCACUUUUGCCUGGUUAAAUCCUCCUACUUUUUACCUGUUCAAAGUCAGCCUUCUGUCACCAUCUCUAAGAAGCCUUCAGCUGUUGCCGUGAUCUGGAUACAGCGUCUCCCUGUGGCUCCCCAGCUUGGACUGUGAUUGCUUAGAUGAUUGAGCCAUGACUUCUGGGAGGUCUGGGAUAUGUUUCUCUUCAUCUCUGCUGACACAGGAUCUGCACAGGGUAGAAUUCUUUGUUAAUAUGCACAGAGGGGAAGAAGAGUGGAGCAGGACAGAAAAGAAAGACUUGGAAAGCAGGAGUGUGGAACUGGAGAUUGAGCAUAAACUGUGCUAUAGUUUGGGCUCAGAGGACCAUGUAUUAAAGACGUAGCCUCCAUCAAGCCUGGAGACCACUGCAGUCUUAAAGGUGGGAUGCAGCCCGAGGUCUUCAAAUCACUGAGGGUGUGUCCUUGAAGGGCACCGUGGAAUCCUGACUCCUUUUUCUUUCCCUCUUUUUGUGUCCUGUCCAUGUGGUAAGUGGCUUUGUUCUGCCACACACUGCUACUGUGAUGCACCUGUGAGGCUCUAAAAGCAACGAGGUCAGCCCUUCAUGGUCAAGAACCUUCAAAACUGUCUUUAUAAGUUGGUUAUCUUGCAACUAAUCAUGUCGCAGUGAUGGAGAACUCAGUAAUGCAAGCUGUGUUCAUAAAGCCUGGCCAAACUGGGUGGCUCCUGCAAAUCGCCCCCUGGGAAUGUGAACUGAGGAGGUUGCAUGACAGUGGUGAGACAGAGUUGCCAACCUGCAUGCUGGUGGAGGCCACUGUCUGAGCUCUCAGCACCAGUCUUCAGGACACUCCCCUGUCCGGCUGGGUAGAAGCAGAUAGACUAUUCAAGCCUAGCAACCAUGUCCAAACCAUCUGGUUGCUGCAGGGGCAUCUGGCUAUCAGCAAGUGAUGGCAGUAGCCUGAAGGAGCUUGGGCAGACCCCCCAGCUCCACCUUGAAAGGAGGGCCUAACGUGGGUUCUGUGGUUGCUUAGGAAAUCCUAGGGACAAAGCUUCCAGGAACAAUGAUCACAACCACCACUCACAUGCCAUUUCCAUAUUGCAUUCCUAUCAUGAAAUACUCAAUUCAGGCUACUUAAGAAGUAAAGAGAUUUCUCGAGUGCAGUUUUAGAAGCUAAAGAGCCAAACAGCCUGGCAUAGGCUCCUCAAAGGCCCCACCUUGGCUGUCACCUCGUGGCAGAUGGCGAUGGUGGGGACAUGUGCAAAAGUAAGCAUUCCCAAAUCCUGCUCACAGAUCUCAGAGCAAGUUUUCAGGGUCUGGCUUGGGCUGUUAUAACCUUACUCUCUGGAGCAAGUAGACUCCCGGAGAUUGGCGCCUGUUCUGAGACUACGCCCUGUGUGACCUAAGGACCUCCAGCUAGGGCCCAGCUCUUAGAGCCCCCAUUCCCACCACUUGGGGACCAGGCCUCUGACACAAGAAACUUUGUGGGGACACAAGCCAUCUCCAAACUGCAGCACAUACAUAAUCACACAUCAUCUUCACACUGACCUUCAGAGGCAAGGCUAGUGGUCUUGUCUUACCAAUAAGAAGAAAAACAGAUACAGGGUUCUGUUUGGAUCAUGCAUCAUGUUGAGGUCAGUGACAGGAUUUGAAUUCAGGUCUCUCCAAUUCUAGAUCUAUGUUCUUCACCACCUUCAGCCCUGCUCCUCAUGGAGCCUGCCCCUUGUUUUCUGGGUCUUGGCCCUGAGCACUCUUUGCCUCUUAGAACUAACCCUGCCUGUCACUGGCACUUUUUCGUAUGUACAAGGUGAGCUGUCUCAUCUAUCUUGUGGCCACAUCACACUGCUGUCUGGAUGCUGUCUUUGCCCACUGCUGGGACUGCUGUCCCUCAGGUCACCUUUGUGCUGCUGGCCACGCAGCUGGCAGGACCCCUUUCCAGUCGUGCCACGUAUUACUCUGUUGCAUCUCAACACACAGCCCCAUCACAUGCUGAUUCGCUUUGGUUGUCUUCAGAGCUGGGAGUGAUGCAUGUUUACAUCAAAACGCAUGUGCUGCGAGUGGCCCCAGACUUUCAGUGUGUGACCUUUGCUCCUUAGCUGUCUGUGGCCCAUAGAAGGCAAACCCUGGAGGGGAAAAAUUUCAGGUGACAAAACCAGAUAUGGAAUAGGCAGGUGUACUUGAGAUGUCUCCUCCAAGAUCUGUGCUCAAAGGACUAAGACUCCAGACACUUGAGCCAGAGGAUGCCUUUGAAGCCAUCUGUUCCCUUGGCUCCAGCGUGCAGAUGGGGUCCAUGGCUCAGGAUGGCACAAGAUUGCCCCUGAAGCCCCAGCCCUGAGGAGCAACCGGAGCCUAGGCUGGCAUCUUUUCCACCGCAUUCAAACAUCAGAGGUUCUCUGAAGGCCCUGAUGGGUUGAAAAAGAAUUAGAAUCAGCCCUAGGCUGCAUUCUUUUCCCUCCUAGCCGGUAGUCAGAGUGAGUAUUCUUAAUUCCUUCAUACUAGGAAGCAUCCUUAAGCUCAAAGGAUCAGAAAGCCAGGACUUGCGUGUUGGUGGCAUAAGUGUGACAAGUGGUCAUCAGUAAACACUUCCCAUGAAUCGGAUAUCAUCUCUUUACAUCCACACCGGAAGAAGACUGGGCAUUUCACUCAGCUCAUCUGUAGGGUCCAGAGGAGUCUUGUGGAUUGCAGGCUCACACUAUUUAUCCCCAGCCCUUGGACACCCCACCUGCUCAUCCCAAAGCUAGAAGUCAGGGAGACAUGGCUUAUCCUCUCUCCCCUUUCAUUUCCAGAGUGUCUAACUUCUAGAUAAUAGUGAGAACCAGGAUGUCAAGGGUACUCAAUAAAUAGUUGCUAAACUUCAGCUAUGCUUCCAUCAACCAUGCCUGGUCUUGGUUUCCCCAGGGGAAGUAGGAUAUUUUGAUGAGCAGUGCACACAGGAAAGCAGUUGGUGCAUGUAAAGGUGCCUGGAGUGGGGUAGAUCAGAUCACUGUUAUUUAUUUGAGUGCUUACUAACUAUUUUGUAGGAUUUUCCCCUGUGAUCCUUACAAAAGCAAUAAUCUCCAGGGUUGGGAUUUUUGUGAUGGUCUCCACUUUGCAAAUAAACUGAGGCAAGGAGACCCUAAACAACAUGCCUGCAUUUCCCACAUCUCCCAGGGAAGGAGUCAGGCUAGAAGCCUGGAUUCCAACCCACCACCUGGCCCUCCCUCUGCGCUAAUACCAGCCAGACCCACGCCUGGUUGCUGAUGGGGAAGAGAUGCACAGAGAGGUGAACAACGUGCCUGAGGUCCUGCAGGAAAUCCCAGCUAAGACUUGCCUUCUGCAGAGACCCAGGGCUCUACCUUUAUGGAGUGCCGUCUCUGCACUGAGGAAGGCAUGGUUAAGCCCCGGGAAGAGCUCCUCAAGUGCCGCAGGACUCCUUGACUUCCUUUCCCCUUGGCUUCUCCCUCCUUUGGAAUCAGUUCUUGUCUGGGUUGCAGAGUAGAAACCAAUAGAAAUUUGCCUUAGUCCCUAGAGCUGUUUACCUGGCUAAAAAUAUGCCAGCUUUGUGAUAUUUUUAGCUGCAUUUAGAUGUGAUGUAUACAAAUUGCCCACACCCAUGUGUGAGGCAUGAACUGUUGGUACAUUUUGUAACAGGAAGCUGCUGGUUUUCCAUUCCAGAGAACUGGAAUUCAGUCAGAAAUUUGUCAUUCCCAAAUACCGACUCUCACCACAUUCCACAGCUGUUUUUAAGAGCAUCUCGUCACCUGGGUUCGGAGGAAGCAGGCCAUGGGCGAGGCCAGGCUGGCCCAGCUGCCCUGCUGCAUUCUCCAGGUCUGGUGGCUUCCAGGUGACCUCUGCUUGGCUGUCCCCAAGCCUCUGUCUUUCCACAGUGUGUGUUGCCUUUGGAUUAGCCUAAGGGCAGACAGGGUGCUUAUUUUAGAACUGAAAAGAGAGGAGACAUAUCAAUAAAAAACCAGGGAAGGAAAAAAAUCCAUUCAGUGGUUUUAAAAUAUCUCUCCCUUAACAGGAUGGAUUAUUUUUGUUUCUUAAAAACAACUGGUAGUUUUCUCCUCGAAACAGUCGGAAAGAGAGGCAGAAAGAUUGUUCUAAAAAAAAGUAGAGGGUAUGAUGGUGGCCCCUAUCCAUCCCUGUUCACAUAGUACCAAUUCUUUACUGGAUGUUCCUUAUGAACAACAUGGGUGUGUGCAAAGCUGGGCCUACGGUGCCAGUCUGCUUCCUGUCCGAGGCUCCCACAAAUGCUGCCUUAAAACCUACAGGAAAUGCAUGGAGCAUCCCUUAAGAUGCCAAUAGGCCCUGAAUGCUGGCCCAUAGAGACGUUUUGUUUAUUUAGUGGGCUGGAGUCCUUAGCCAUGAGCAGAUUCUUACUAAAACCCAGGCUGGCUUGACAUGCUCGCAGUGCAGUGUGGAGAUGAGAAUUAGCUUGGCUGUCAGGCCCUGGUUCCGCAUUGUCUUCAGGGUUCCAUCUUUCUGUCCACUCUUUGGGAUGCAAGCACUUGUCCGUGAAAGCAUGGCCUGUGAACCAGCCUAGUGGCUUCCUGUGUCCUGUUGGAAAUGCAGGUUCUCAGGCUUCACCCCACAUCUCUUGAAUGUGAGUUUGCAUUUUAGUAAGACCCCUGCAUUCAAGGACUUCAGUGCCCUGCUCUGCCAGAUACUUGGGGCCAGUACAGGUGGCUUCUCUCAGGAGCUAGAGCCAAUUUCAUGGCAACCACCUCUCACCCUUCCCCAAAGGCAGGGCAGCCACUCCCACAGUCUGAAUGAAGCCCAGCUCCCACAGCCCUUUGUAAUAUGGAAAUCUCCUUUGGGUUUUUCUUGGGUCCCCAAAAUCCAGUUGUUUGCCGUUGUGAAGGAGGCAGGAUGCACCCAGGGUAGCAAGGGGAGGAGCUCAAUGUCUCUCCAUCUACUGCCCAAGAAGCUCUCGCCACGGGGCAGGUGCUCUGCAAAUGUAGGCUGUCUGCCUGCUGAACGUUCCUUUCCCUCAUGCUGUGGUUGAGUAUUGAUUUGGGGAAAGCCCAUUGGUAAGAGGAGGGCAGAUUUACUGAGCGGCUGAGCCAGGCUAUUUGGUGAAAUUGUCUGCUGCUGAUGUCGGAGGGUUUUUGCCUUGUUUUGUGCAAAUCAGGGUUAUUUAAAAGCUGUUCACAUGGUCACUGGUACCAUAGAAACCGCCUCGCUUUGUGCAUAGCCCUGUCUCAGCCAGGCAUGGGCCGCCACAGGUGCAGGAGGAGGGCAUGCUGCACUGAGGCAUCUCCAAAAGGAAGAAGCGUGGUGGAGAAAGCUUGGGAGUGGUUUUGCCACCUCCCUCCAGACCCCCUGGAGCUGUCUCAUUGCAGAGACCCCUCCAAACUACCUGAUGGAGGGGCCACUCCUCCGUCCCUCAAGUACAAACCUGGCCUUGAGUGAGGACAAUGACAUUGUCCUAGGACCAAAACCAAGAGGGGGUUUGUGUGUGUGAUGUGUUUGUGUAUGCAUGCAUGUGCACACAUGUUUAUGCACAUGUGUACAUGUCUUUGCAUAUGCAUGUGUGCAUGUUUGCACCUAUGGUCAUGUGUAUAUAUAUAUAUGUGUGUGUUUGUGUAUUUGUGUGUGUGCGCACUGUGUGUAUGGAUUUGGGCAUGCAUGCAUGUGUUUGCAUGUUCUUGUACAUGCAUGCAUAUGUAUAUGAAUUUGCAUGCAUGUUUAUGCAUGCAUGUCUAUGUGCAGGGAUUUACGUAUGUGUGCAUGUGUUUAAAUGCAUCUGUGUGCAUGUGUGUGUGUAUGUAUGCAUGUGUGCUCAUGUAUGCAUGCAAGUCUGUGCAUGUUUAUGCUUACCUGUGGUGUGUGUGGGUAUUUAUGCCUGCAUGUGUGCUUGUGAGAGUGUGUGUGUGCACAUGUGUGUUCAGAUGCUCUUUGAGAGGUUGCAGAAAUCCAUUUUGACCCCUGGUAGCCCCAUAGCAUGCCAGGCUGAAGGCACACUAUAUUCUUUUUUAUUUUUUAAAUUUUAUUUAAGGAGAACAAGAAAAAAAGGCAGAAAAAGUGUACGUCCUCUUUUUCUAGAGGCCUCUUUGACCCGGGGCCCUUGUCCAGGGCUCUUCACCAGCAGCUUGUGAUGUUGUGCAAAUGAUACUCAAGUCCAGAUGACUCUCUAGAAAGCCAGGCCUGGAGUGGGACUUCCACAUCCAUCUCUCUUGAGGGCCUCCAGGGGAUGCUGAAGCACUCACUGUGCUGUUUGCUGAAUUUGAGAGCAGCCCGCUCAGGACCCAGGACAUAGCAGCCAGGGAAACAGCAGUCACACUGACCAGGACUGGGCUUGCCUAGCUUAUAGCAGAAUGUCCCCAGGCGAGUGGGUAGGCUGCCCCUGCCUCCUCCUCCUCCCUGCGGGCCUCACAGGGCAGCUCUGCUCCUGAAAUGCUGUUGCAUGCAGGAGGCCUGUAGCAGGAGCCUGGCAUGGGAGAGGGCUCCAUUAAUGUCAGACCUCCAGGUGUGUGCUUCCUGCGGUGCCUGACUAUGGGCAUAGAAACUGUCAAGAAAGUUCAACGGCAGAGCACAAUCAAGAAAUGAGACAGCAGUGCUCAGUGAUACGUGUAAUUUUGCAAUAAAGAAAUGAUUAGUUCAUUUUUUCAAGACAUCUUACCAAGGAAGGACAAGUGCAGAGAAAGGUCCCAGGGGGCCAGAAAGAGCAGCAGGAAAAAGGUGCCUUUGCUUCCUGCCAGGGCUCCUUGAGCUCCAGCGCGCUUCCUCUUACCUGGGGAGCCUGGUGGAGUGUAUACACUGCAUCCUGAGCCCGCCUCUGAGACUCUGAUUUUGCAGAUCAGGGAUGAGGCCCCCAAAUUCAUCUUCCUGACAGUGAUGAUCAGGUGGCUGUACAGAAGGCAAUCAGAAGCCCCGGCUGUGAUGGAUCCUAGGCCAGUGGGGAUUGAUCACAUGGGGAGACCCAGGGAAGAUGGGGCUGGAUGACUCUGGGCCUGCAGGGAAAGGGUCCUGCAUGAAGCUGGAGAGGCUGGGUUUACCUGUGUUGGAGCCAGAGGAAACUGGGCAGCACAUUUGGGAUCUAGGCUGAGGAACAGAUGGUGGAAAGGCUUGGUGACAGGAAGCCCUGGCUCUCCCUCCUGCCCCUGUGAGCUGGCUUGCCAGGUAGGGUGGACACUACACAGACGCCAGCCAUGAGACAGGACUCACUGUGACUCCAGAUGAAGUGUGUAUGUCCCACUGAAAGCCCGAACCAACAGGCUUGAGUUUGCCUAUCAGUGCAGCUGGAGUUUAGCAUCUCUUUCUAUGUUCACUGAGACAUCAGGAUGUGUGGAUUGUUGUCCACAUACUCCACUGAAAAGGAGGAAGAGAAGAAGCAGAGGAAGGAGAAAGAAGCUGGAAUGCGGUACACGCCUGCAAACCUAGCACUAGGCGACUGAGCAGGAGGAUCCCUGUGAGUUACCUAGUGAGACCCUAUGUCACAAAACAGAUGAACAAACAGCAAAAAGGAGGAGAGAAAAGGGAAGAAGAGUAGAAAGGCUUAGGCUCAAUCUGGGACGAGAGACCACGGAGAAAGAUUUAGGAAAUGGGGUGUGCUCUUCUAUGUUUGAGUGUUCCCCUGAGCUCACAGAGCUGCAGCUGGCAUCUUGAGUCUGCAGGGGACCUGCGUCCCUGGAUAAAGGGACACGAGUUGCAGUGGCCUUCAUCCUGCGGCUUGUGCCAAAGGAGAGCAAGUUUUGGAAGGUCUUUGAGGGUCAGAUAGAGUUAGAAAAAGAGAGGUGGGACAGGAACCCCUGUUCAGACCUCUGGUACACAGGCUUCAGGCUCAGGUGUGCUGAUGCCUCUUGUCCGGCCUUGCUUCUUGGGUUGAAGCCAUGAUCUGUUUUCCAGAUGAAGAAUGAGAAGCCCAGAGAGGUGAGGUGAUUUGCACCUUCCCAUGCAGCCAGGCCAUGGCAGAGCCGGGCUCAGGCUUCCUGCAAAUCAGCCUCAGUUCCCCUGUGAGCGUGAUGGUGACUUUGCUUCUUUAUCAGGGCUUGUGGGCACUGUGCCCUGGAGCCCAGGACUUGAGGGGCAUUUCUGUGCCCUCUGUUGACAAUCCAGCCUUCAGUGUCAUUGCCCUGGCUGCCAGCUGCUGUCCCCACAGCCAGACCCCCACCCACACUGGCGAAGGCUUCAGCCCAGGGCGUUCUGGGGUGGGAGGAGGAAGUGCCCCCCGGGGGGGUUGUUCUGGUGCCCUGAAUGGCCCCAUUGAGGUGGCCUGGGCCUGGUGACAAUGAGCCUGUUGGGGCCCUCACUCCAUUGAGACCAGAGGGCCAGGGCUGGGCAGUCAGUGCUGGCUCAGAGAGUAAAUGCUGACUUCCAGGGCAGGCUGCCAGCACCUCUGACGCGCUCUGAAAUGUCAGCUCUGCCUAAUGGGUGCAGUCGGGUGGGCUCUGCAUUCCUGCCUAUGCCAAGAGGGCGGAGGGGACCCAGUACCCCGGGACCAGUGCCCCAGACCUCACUUGCUGCUGUCCCUCUUCGCUGCUGGGCCUGCUCACCCUCGCUGAACACACCCUUCUUGCUGGACACCUACAACAAUGCUUAGUCUUUCGUGGUGUCCCCUGAUCCCCAGGGACAUCCUUUUCAGGCUUUUUGGAGACACGACAUGCUCUCCCCAGUAGCUUAGGACACCCACAGACAGGGAUGUUAGAUAGAACCCAAGGCACAUGAUUCAAUUUGAAUGUCAGAUAUGUGAUGAAUAAUUUUUAAAUUAUGUUUAUGUCUGUGACAAAUAUUGAUAAAUGUCAAAGCUGGAACCAAGAUAUGGGUUCAUUGAUCCAAGCAUCCUGGAGCACAUUUGCACUAAAAAUUAUUUAUCAUUUAUCAGGAAUUCAUAUGGCACUGGGCACCGUCAAUUCUUAUUUACUAAAUCUGUCAGCCAUGUUGGACACCCAAGGCAGAACACUCGGGUGCUGUGGGUUUUCCUGAGGCCACUGAGGUACCAUAGGGCACGGGGAGGAGGGGGCUUUGCCUGCAUCUUCUCUCCAACCUUGACUGCCUAUUACAUAAAAUAAUGGGGCUGCCCUUAGGGGGAGCUUCCUAAAAGGCAUCUGUUGCUCACCUUGUUACUACCUAUGGCACCCUGCUUCUAGGGGCUGUGUCCUUCUAUCCAGUUCCUGUGCUGGGGGCAGGGGGGAUGCAGCUCUAGCCAGGGACCUCUUCUGAUCAUGCGUGUAUCACAGUGGUAGAAAUGGGUCCCAGGGCUCAAGGGAACACACUGGCUGGUUAGCAGGGGAAGCAAGCAUUUGGGCAAAAGAGCCACUGUGAUCCCAGAGAGCAGACGCCCUUCAGGGGUGCGGGAAGGCUUUGAGGGCUCUCACCAUAGAACCAGAGGGAGGGUCUUGGAGUCGGGGGAUGCAACAGGAAACCUGGGCCAUGUCACUGAGCUGACUGCAUGUGUGGCCCCAGGCAAGACCCUGAGCUUACAGCUUUGCUUUUCCUCCUGUAAAGUGGAAGUAAUAUUUCUUGCCUGUGGGAAUCCGGUGAGAUGCUAAGUACUUGUGCCCAUCGUGUAUUGCCAGUUGUAGGGUUCUAGAUGCAAUGAGUGUGUGUGUGUGUGUGUGUGUGUGUGUGUGUGUGUGUAUACACAUAGAAGAGGGGAAGGAGCUGAAGAGAAAGAACCAUGGCCCUGGACCUAGGGGGUCCCAUCCCAUAUAACCUUUUGCUGUUUGUAAGUGAUAAUAGCUGGAGAGGCAAAUGGCUCAGGUUCAAGCCCUAUCUUCACUGUAUGACCUCUUCUGCCUGUUUCCUUCUCUGUGAAAUGGGGCCUCCUGGGUGUGACUGAGAAAAUGAACAGAGACCAUGUGUGUCUGCACCAAGUGCUUGGUGUGGAGCCUGGCACAUGGCAAUGCGCAGAAGUGGGCAGCUUCUUAAAGGGUCUUAGUGAGCCUACCAGGCUCAUGAGUGCUAAUUAUCAGGUGGAAUGCCAAGGUCAGAGAGGGUAAGAACUGGCCCACACAGGGGCAGCAGAAGAGAGUAUAGCCUUUCUCAGGAUGCCUUUGGCCACCUGUCUUCAGGGAACUUUGCUUCUGGAUUUCAGCCGAACACCUCUGGGGAACACCUGGACUCAGGGGUGCAGCUGUGUUUUUGUGCAGAUGUGUGGUGUCCUGAAGACCUUGGCUUCCCUGUCUAUGUCAUGCCCAUCCCAUCCCCACCUGUCCUCCAAGUCAGGGAAAAGGACCUUCUUUUGGAAUCUAAGGCUCACACACCUCACACUUGCUGCUGGGUUUGAAGUCUGAGGGUUUUAUUGCCCUUUUAAACCUUUUUGUUACUGAUGCCUGCGUGGUUGUGCUGUUAGCAUGGAUACUCGUUGUAUUGCCUUGAACACAAAAGCAGUUUUGAGAGAAGGGGUGUAUUUCUGGGGAGAGGCUAAGAUGGGCCAUCUGCCACCACCCUGUGGGGCACCUUACUAACCUGUUCUUCAGUGGCCCCAGAGGGCCAAGGGGUGGGCUGGGUGCUGGCCCUGACUGACCAUGCUGGGUGCUUGUAUCAGAAAGAAGGUCAAGGGUGCUCCUUCCGCUGCUCUCUGAGCUUAAGCCUUAGACCCAUUUGGCAGAUGAGUAAAAUGAGACAGAGGUUUGUUGGUUUUACCUGGGUCCUAUGACUAGUACAUAGCACCGUUUUUGGGGGGCGGGGUGGGGUUGGUUUGUAGUAUAUAUUGGGUGUAACACCCUCCCCCCACUUGAAUGAUAGAACUGUCCCAUGCCACCUAAUAGGAGAGGCAUGCAUGUACCACCAGUGGUUCACAGGCACUGGGCAAUGAGAUAUGAGAAAUUAUAGCCCCAUCAUGAAUGUAUUAAACUUGUGAUACUCUUGACUCAGCCUCCGUGAGUGCUGUGAUUAUAGGCAUGCGCCACAGAACCUGGCUACAGCACUGGGUUUUGAGUGCAAAUCUCUCUGGCUUUGCUGUCAUUCAGGUACCGAGGUCUGCAUGUUUUAGAGGAAACUGAAACCACAGACGGCACAUGCUUGCCUUCAAGGCUCCAGGGGAAGACAUAAGCUACUACCUGCCACCUGCUGUCAUUGGUGUCCAACUUCAGAACACAGGGCUGAGGCUUGCGGGGAGAUCAAGCUUUCAGAGCUUACCUCUUUCCUUAAAAGGCAGAAAGGGAUUUAGAUACACAGGAGAGAAAGAGGGUUUUCCAGGGCCAGAAGCACUGGUCAAGAGGUGGCCAACAGGACUAAACUUGGCUGUGGUGUGGGGAAGGAGGACACUAAGGAGUCUCGCUCUCCCCAGAGACACACAGAAAGGUGACGCUGCACACAGGAGGCUGGAGGCUGGAGGAGGAGGGCCCAGGAGGCCAGGCAGGGACAUUUGGUCUCCAUCCCAGAAAGCGGGGAGCCAUGAUGGAAUUCGGAGCAGGGGAGGGCAAGCCGAAAAUAGUGCCCAUGAGAUUCUCAAGAAACUCGAAAGCUCAGGGCCUGGAGGCCUCCCUGGGGGUUGCUGGUGGUGAUGGGAGAGCCCUGCAGAUCACGGCCAGCGUGCAGGGGUGAUUACUGUGUACCAGCACUUUGCUGAGGAUUUUACAUGUAUAAACUUGUUUAAGACUUGCAACAGUCUUGUAGGGAACAUUAUAAACCCUGUUUUACAGAUGGGGAAACUGAGUCUCCAGGUAGUAAUAGGACCUGAAAUAGGGGCGGGCAUUGAAACUGAAUAGGAAGAAUCAGAUCCGAGGGUCAUUGAAGGCACUGGCAGUGUAGCUCAGCGGCAGAGUGCUCAUGCGCAGGGCCCUGAGUUCUACCACCAAAACCCCCAAAUGUCAUUGGAGAAGGAGGGCUGGGCUAGAGCUUGGCUGGGAAGAGGAUGAAGGGAUGGGAGGGUCUUCAGUAACUCCAAAAUGGGAGCCAGUUUCCUGGUAGUGAGGGUUGAUGAAACUUUGACCCAGAUGCCAAAGGUAGACUCGUGAUUAUGUGAAUGCUCUGUUAAGAUGGACCUGUGAUACUGGUGGAAGGCGGAAUCCUUGAGCCCCAGCCAGCUACAGGUCCUCACCACAGCCCUAGAUGGAGAGGAUGAUGGCCUUCGGGGUCAGCUUGGCAAAGGCAGGGCCUGCUGGCCCGCCCGUCACCAGGUACCCCUGGCCCCUGUCCUAAGCCAAUGUAAAGCAGCCAAUGCUCAAGCCCAUGUUCCAACACAAGUCCCACUUAACAGAGAUUUCCAGAAGCUUGGCUGAUGAAGUUUGGAUUAUGAGUGGUGAUAGCCCCACUGGAUGGAAAAGGAUAUGAAUGGUCACCGCCCCGCCCCAUAGACCUCACCUCCAUACCCCAGGGCCUGGAGCCUGUAGUCGGUGACACACCAGCUCUCCAGCAGUUGACCAAGCCAGAACUCAAUCCAGACCUCAGACCACUUUGCUGCAUGCUCUUGGAUGAGUCAUUUCACUUCCCCAUCCUUUCCGUCUCGUUGUAAGCUGGGGAUGCUGGAAUACCCUCCUUGACUCGUCCAGGUGAAGGAAUCAAGAGAAGGCCUCCGAUGUGCUUAAUGUAGGGUCCCACACCUAGUAGUGCUCAUUUGGGUGAGCUGCAUUUGUUGCCCCAGUCCCACUCGGGUCUGAGACUUCCAUAGGGGCUUUGGACCAAGCCUGGGACUGGACAGCCCAGCACUGCUCCUUACAGGCUGCCCAUGAGCUUAGCCUGGGCUCUUGCUUGCUCUCUCUCUCUCUCUGGCAUUCUUGGCCAGAUGCAUGGUAGGGGUCAGGUUCAGCCCAGCCCUAGAGCAUCCCUCUUCCUCUGGCACUGUAGAGGGCUCUUCAAGCAAUUCCUUCCUACUCCCCAGCAUUCUGCAUCAGAGGCAUGAAGCACUCUGGCCAAUACUCCUUGAGGACCGACUAAGUGCCAGGCACUGGACUAGUGAAUCCAGUCCUCACAGCUAUUCCAUAAAAAGCCUUGUCAUGAACCCUUCUUAUACAGGAUUAAAUCGAGGCCCCAGGAGUCUAAGUCUCUUCCUUGGAAUUCUACAGUGAUAGCUGAGCCAGGGCUUGAACCCCUAACCUCCGUGCCAUUCUGAACAAAGGAGACGGAAGCCAUUCUUCGUGCACUAGGCAUGCGUUUUGAUAACCUGCCGACAGCCCGGUUUUGCUGCUUCUCUGAGUACAAGGGAAAAGAGCCAUCUGUCGGAUGCUUUUUUGAGGGAGCGGGUGAGACUGUUUCAGGGUAAAAUGCAGAGAAAUAGCAUCACUUUUUUUUUCCUGUCGUGGUAAAAAUAACCUGCAGGGAUGGGAAGAACAAAUGGCAGUUGGGAGGCUGGCACAGGGGGGAGGUAGAAGCUGGUGUGCUGGGGCUGUCCUGUGCUGCAGGGGGCCACAGCAAUGCCACCUGCAAGGCCACCACCAUCGCCAUCGGCCUGCAGAAGUACAGGGUCUCCCCCAGAGGGCUUGGGGCCCAGGGAAGCUCAAAGGGUAGAGGGGACCCCUAGAGGAUGCGGGCGACAGUUCAGCUCAUGUCCCCACCCAGGAUGUGGCUGUGCCCAGGUGUGCCACCCCCUGUGUCAGCCACCUCCAGAAAGAAACCGGGCAGAGCCUUGGAUUGUGAGAUAUUUUUUUAAAGAUUAAAAAAAAAAAAACCUGAAAGUAGUUGGAGAAGUUGAGAUUAUGUUAAUUUAUGCAGUUUCCACUGCUGCAAGGAUUAAAAUAGCUUCCUUUCCAGAAAACCAGAGAUGCUGACUAUCCGUCUGCCUGCUUGUUAGGUUCUGGGGACAGGACAGGUCAUAGAUGAUGAAAACCAUGGUGUGAGGCCCAGACCUGGGCUGUGUUCAGGUGGCAGUCUUCCCCUGCUCAUGUCAUAGAACUUUCCUCUGAGUCCCUGUGACUCAGCCAGCUCGUCUCUGCACGUCACCGUUCAGUCCUGGCCUCCUGCGUCCCGUUGGCUCUGUGCUGGGUGUGCUAGGCAGACACACUGAUUAUUCGGAGGUCAGUUUCAGGUUUAAUAGUCAUCCUUUGUUGACAGCCUGGUGAGGGCUAGGAUUUUCAGGGUGAGACUCUUCGAGAUCUCUGAGAGUAAGAAGACCGGGAAAUGACAUUUAUAUGAUCCAUUGUACAGAAGGGAUUGCUGGGGGCUCCUGGGUAGAAUUGACUUGCUAAGAAUUAGAGAGCUAAGUGGCAGCAGGGCUGGGACUUGGGACAGAUGUCUACAUUCAUCAUCAUUUUGUCAGCCUGCCUUCCCCAGCCAUCUGGAGUCAGAACUCAAAAUGUGAGUAAUUAGGGAAGAUUGGGGGCCUUCAAAACACUGUCCUAGCUCUCCUAUCCUGUAGUGCCCAUGCUUCCCAGGGGACAGGAAAGGCACUUAUCAAAUGUCACCUGUCUGGUAAAACGCAGAGCCAGAAUUCAAACUCAGAUCCCCACCCCGCAAAGCCUAGACUUGCAAGAAAUCAUCAUCUCUUCCGAGCUGUGCUGUUGGAAAUGUUGAUUACAGCUGUCAUGACCAUAAUGUUACCUUUAGGGUAGCGUAGGCAGGGAACCCCCACCCCAAUAUAAACAGGGCAUCUGGAAAAUACUUUUCAAGGUGCACCUAUCUAAAUAUAAAACACUUCUUGCCAAAUGUCAAGGAGCCAGCACCGUGUCAGUGGACCAAGGUGACAGUCCGCGGGAGAGCUACCAGGAGACCUGUUCUCCUGCUCCCCUGUAUCAGGACCCAGCCAGAGAACCCAAGGCCACACCAGAGCAACUCAAAGUGUCUGGGUGACACCACGAAUGGGCAGUUCAGACAGGGCAUUGAAGGAGAGCUGAGGACAGGAACGCCGUCGGUGUAGGUCAGAUUUGGGGACAUCUGGGGAUGUCCCAGGCUGGGAGGAGAUUUAUAAGAAGUUGAAAAAGACUCAAUUUCAAGGACAAAAAUGACCAUGGAAAUAAGAAAAAAUAAAUGAAGAAGAGAGCACAGCUAGAUGUGUACCAGGCUGUGGGUGGGGGCAGGGCGAAUAAGGUAAGAAUCGCAGCUUUUGGGGAUCUUGCAGCCUGCAGGGGGAAGCCAGGCAUUAACCACAUCAUCACAGGAGGAGGAAGGGAAAGGGAAGCAGGGAGGGGCUGUCUAUCUGUAGACAUGCAUGGCAGGGAAACAGGCUGGGAAGUGGUAUCACCUGGUGAUCGCGGGCGUCGGGGUCACCGAGCGUGAAUUUCAGAACCAUCCUCGCUUCUUCUUAGCUCCAUGACUCUGGGCCGGGACCUUACACUCUAACCUCAGUUUUCUCAUCUCAGAAGCACUGACAAACCUGCCCGCCUGGUCAGGGCAGGGGCUGGAGAGGGUUAAAUAAAAUCCAGCAAGGGAUGCAGUUAGCCCAAUGCGUCGUGAUGAUUGCAAGUGAUUAUCUGACUUCUGAGACCUGAACAGAUCUGAAGGAGCCAGUGGGAAGGGCUGGGAUGAGCAGGUGCUGUGGAUGCCUGAUGGUGGCACUUCUGACCAUCAGAUAGCUAAGAAGAGGGGCCUGAGCGCUGCUGCCCCAGCGGCCCUUGGAGCAGUUGGUGCUGGCUGUGUUGCCCAUGCCUCUGGUUGUGAGAAGGUGUGAAGACAGAAGAUAAAGCUCUGAAGAUCAAAAGGCUAAAACGGAAGUUUGGAUGCUUCUAACAGGGAGCUUCGGUUUUCUGGAAACUUCCAUGGUGGAAGAAGAGCUCCUUUGAGCUUGAGAAUCUUUCAGCCUCUUCUGCCCCUUCUGUGCCAGCCAGGGCACUUUCCACCCAUUAUGGCACAACCCAGGCAGGGCAGGGCCACCAGACACCUAUCUGCUGAGGAACCUGGAAGCCCGUCCACCUUGCCGGGCUGCAUUUCCAGUUUGCGAGAUGUAGAUUUUUAAUGUGAGUGACAGAUGAGGGAGAGGCACAUCCGGCAGAUGAAAGAUAGCUCCAUCUGCGUGGGUCUGGAGAAAAGAUGGAGAUCAGAGAGGGAUGCUGAUGGCUUUUCCUAAAGAGAAACUUGCGGGUGGGUUUUUCAAGGAGAAAGCAGCAUUGACAGAGAACACAGGUUCCCAGAUUGGUACUUGAGGGCAGACCCCAGAGGGGAAGUUGGCAGAGGUGGCUUGUUCCCGAUGGAGACCAGGGAGGGCAAUUCCUGGCCACUCUGAGGGAGCGUGGUCCCUGUCCUCAGGAGAAGCCACUCAGGUUUCAGCGCACAGGCUCUUACAAGGUGCUGCUCUGCAGUGGACACAAGAGGAGGACUCUCCUGCCAUGUGGGGCCCCUCCCAAGGCCCUGCAACAGGGCAGGGUGUCCCUGGACUCCCCUGGCAGCUGGUACUGCGGGAUAUGCCCCUGCCACCCAUCCCAUCAGUUUCUGUUGGGAGAAGGGGAGGCAGCGAGGGGGAACACACAGCUCAUAGCAGAAGGAGCCAUGCAGGUGCACCGAAUGUAAAUAAAUCUCGCCCUCUUCCUUGGGGUCAUCCUCCUUGAUUUACAAAGUCUAAAGUCAUUUUUUGACCAUUCAGAGGUACCAGGUUCUCUGUGAGACUCUUUGCGUGUUCAUUUACUGUUCACGGCAAUUUCAGUGUGCUCAUUUUAUUGUUUUAAUGAGACAGGGGUAAGUACACAGGAAAGAGUGCGGGGGAUUCAAACUCAGAUCUGUUCCCCUCUUAAUUUCUGCUUUAUAAGUUAUACUAGGAUCCUAAAUCCUUCUGUUUUUGUUUGUUUCAAGACCUGGUCUCACUAUGCAGUUCAGGCUGGCUUUGAACUUACUUAUGUAGCCCAGACUGGCCUUGACCUCUCAGUGAUCCUCCUGCCUCAGCCUCCCAAGUGCUGGGAUUACAAGUGUGCACCACAACACUUUUCAUUCAACAAUGCUCUGUUUGCCACUGUCCUCACUACCUCAAGUUGUUUGCCCCCUGGCCAGCAGCUUGGACCCUCGAGGAAUAUAAGUUUUGCUUGUCAGUGAGCGAGGAGUGUGGGAUGGGUUUGGGGAUACCUGAGAAAAGACUUCAGCUCUUUGGUCCCUCUGAAGUGGGGAGAAGAAGAUGGCAGUUCCAGACGCACCCAAACUGAGCCAAGGAACAGUACCAGAGCCCUGGAAAGAUCUAAGCUUUGGGCUUAGAAUCAGUACUCAGGAAUCUGAGUUUCAUACGGUCCCUAAAGGGGACUUUGAAGAGGGAAAUGCACUGGUCCUGGUUGGUGGCUCAGGAGAGGAGAAAGGUCCCGUGCUCAUCAGAGCUGCAAGCAGACACCUGCUGCGGGGCAGCAGUGAGGCUAGAGGGCAUUGCUGGCACUUUGUGAUCUGGGAUCACCUACUACAGAGCCUGAAGCGAGGUGGCAGGAGAGACGAGUGCCUGCGGGAGUUUCAGCGCAGUAAAAUGUCCAUGGAGGAUGAAUCCAUGGCAGACUACGAAUCUGCAGCGGGUCUUGAAGUUUGAGGGGUUUGUUCCAAAGAAGUAGGUAAAUAGCAUUCUAGGCAGAGGGGAUAUCGUAAGGGGAAAGAACAGAGUUCGGAAAACAUGGUGAACACCUUCAGGAAGGAGAUUUACUCCCGAGCUGGAGACCACCGUGGGGAAGAGUGUGGUACCAGAACAGAACCGCAGAGAGCAUUUGAUUUAGUGGCCCAGGCAGUAACCGUAGCAAACAUUUGUUGAGCACCUGUUACCCAUCUCCAUGCUUUGGGCAUGUUUCACAUAUUGUUGCCUGCAGUUCUCGAGAAAAGCCUCUAAACCUUUACUAAUUAGGAAACUGGCGCCAAGCAUUGAUUGUCACGUUCCGGGUUGCCCGGCUGGCAACUCAGGCAUCCUGGCCCCAGAGCCCAAGCUCCUAACCUCGUGUCUGUGCUGUUUCCAGCAGCAGCCAUCAGUCUGGGAGGGAAGUGAGACCCGACAGCCUCCAUUGGCUCCUCUGUGACACUGGCUAACAUCUCUUCAUCGGGAAAUAAAGGUGGUGUGUGCAGAACACACAGCCAGUGCCCAAUAAAUGGCCAGACUGAACACAGAAUUCGCUUCACAGUGCUCAUUACCAGAGUCCAGGAUCGGGGACACCUGGCACCCUCGCUGUGGUGCUCCAGGGAGGAUGCUGAGGCUAGCAUGCAUGCCCCCUGGCUGCACCUCGAGCUGGUUCCCUCCACCGAGGCCUGGCCUGGUUUCCAGCCUUCCCAUUACUAGAUAAUGAGAACAGUCACCCUUUACCCUCCUGCCCAAGACGGCAGAGAAUCAAGAAGACUCCUCACUUGCCCAUCCACCCAAUCCACACAUGAGUGAGAAGCCAGGGCAGACAGGUUCCUGUUCUGGCCUCCCCUUGGCCACCUCUCUGGAAGCAGUAUCUGCUAGUGCCACCCUGUGGCGUUUCACAGCAAUGCAUGCACAGAGGCUGCCGCAGUGUCUCCUUUAAGGCGCUUGGCAUGCCUGAGAAUGCAGAGUUCAAUUCAGUUAAGCGCAAAAGUGCGAUCAGAAAGAGGAAAGUAGCAAGAUUUGGAAGGGAAAGUGCCAUGAGAAGAGUCCUGUAGCCUCUGUUCAAAUCCUGCCCACCCAUCUGGGACGACAGACACAUGACAGAACUUCGUGAGCCCGUUUCUUGUGACAGUUGUCCACGUCUCCCCAGAGAUGUGAGGCUCCCGUGAAAGGCUUCAUAGAGUGCAACCCCCUGAUGCAGGAGGUGAAGAUUAUUGUGGUUGCAAGAGCGGGUGAGGUCAGUACUUCCGGGCCUGCAAGUCGGGUUCUGGCCUAUUGUAACCCCCACUGCUCAAGCCCAUCAAGGACUGGGGACAGGUGCAGACUUUGGGUACUCCCUCUUUGCUGGCCCCAAAUGUCUUCCAUGUGGGUGAAAUGCUGGGAUCUCACCCCUGCUGGUCCUCCCUUGCCUGCAGCCUCCUUGCACAAGGUACCUUCUGGUGACAUUGCUCUGUGCCUGCCACAAUUGUUUCUGAGCCCGUGCCUGUGUUUCCUCAAAGGACAGAAGUCUAGGUCUCACUAAGGGACAGAAUGCCGGACUGCCAGGUGAAGCCUUGCCCCAGGGCUGGACAUGGCCGAGAGCUGAGUCUGCAGGCCCAGGAAUGUGCUGGCUGGACACACAGCAUUUGCUCUUCCCUUCUGCUGCUGGACACAGAGCCCCAUGUUUGCGCCAGGCAGUUUUCCUAGUGGCUUCUCACCAUCCUGCUCUGGCAGUGUCUGGACUGAUCCAGCCCAAGGAGCCCCGAGGGUCUGUUGCCACAUUGGCUGUGGCCCAUUUGGGUCCAGCGGGGUCCUCCCAGCCUCAGGUCCUAAUGCCAUGCACAUCCCACAGGUCCCAAGGGCUGCCUCGCCCAUGACACCCUCUCCUCCUUUGGGGGCUCCAGAUGCAGUUGGUUUCGUGGAGCACCUAGUGUUAUGUGAGGUACGGGAUAUCCUUCUGGAGCCCAUCUCAUUUCUUCCUCCAGGCAGCCCCAGAAGGGUGCUGUGACGGUUCCCAUAUUACAGGUGAGGGAACUGGGGUGUUUGGAGGUUUGCUCAUUUUGUGAGCUGCAGGCUUGGUUUCAAACCCCAACUUCUGCCUCAGGGCUGGUGUCUGCUCACCGCCCCAGACACCCAGGCAGGUGCUCACUCCCCUGAGCCAGCUGCAGGCUCCCACAUCAUCAUCUCCCUGCCCCGAAUUCUUCCAAGGUGCUGGGCCCUCCCUUGGGGACCCCACGGAGACAGAGAGAGCAGAGUGCUGAGGGUGGAGGAGCGCAGGCCCCGAAGUGGCCUUUAAGGUUCUCUUUUCCCUCAGGAUUUCCAUUAGUAAUCUUAAUUCAAAGGUAAGAGACACAAAAAGCUUUUCAAAAGAUUUAUAACCAGGGUAUAAAACCAGUAACCUCAUUUUCCCUCCUUCCUAUUGUCGCAGCAGUUCACCUCUAUGAACAGUUGUUUUGUACCAUUUCGGGAACUUUUGUACAAGAACAAGCAUAUUGAGGUCCUCCCCUGGGUGGGUGUCACUUGUUGUCCCCUGGAGGCCUCUUUCCUGUCUCCCAUCUCUCAGGUGUCCCUGAUGUGGAGUCAGGGGUGUGUCUCACAGUCUCCUGGACAGUGUUAGGACCCACACAGUUCGCUGUGCUGUUGCCCUCCCAGAGGAUAUUCUGCUGGCUCUGGGCCUUUGCAAUGAUGAAUGGUGCCCUGGUGACUUCUAUAUCUUUGUAUAGUUGACGAGACAGACCGUGGAUGAAAGGACUUCUGGAAACCGACUUACUGGGUUAAAACAUGUGCUUUUAAAUUUGGCUUAAAUACUGCAGAAUGGCUCUCUGGAAGCUGUGGAUCAGCUCACACUCCCACCGGCAGGGGGAGGAGAAACGAUCUCCACCUGAAGAUGAGACCAGUGGUUAGCAGGGUGCUGGUGAUUCCGAGGCACCCAGGAACUGCUUAGAACCCCUGUGCAGCUUCAGCCUGCACGGUGUCUGGAAUUCUCACCUAUUCCUUGAACAGGGGCAUUGACUCUCCAAGGCUCAGAUGUUACAGGAUCAUCCAUCAGUCCCCAGAGCCCCCACUCGGAACCCCAGAAGGGUGACAAGGGAAGUCUGCUUGUACUUAUUAACAGUGGACUAAGGGAAGGUGGCAUUAGGGCUUUCCUGGGCCAUCAGCACUGUUGCCUUCAUGGAUUUUCUCCUUCACUAAAACAAGAAAAAAAAAUAGUACAUUAAAAAGUAUGUUUUGUGACUACCUUGGCAUAAGACUGAGAUAAUCCAGGAUGGACUGUAUUCACUGUUUUCUUUUGGUUUCAAAAAAUUAAAAUGGUGUCAUCAGCUCCUAAAAGCACUGUGCACCCUGAAUGUCAUCUUUACUGUGCCUUGUGUUGGCCUUGGCCUUGUUCCCCAGGGUACCUGCCCCAGUGCUCACCCUGACUUUGGACACUGAAAGGCCCAUACGGGGGACAAACAGUCCUCAUGUAAAGAACCAGGCAGCCUUUGGGUGGGGGUCGAGGCUCAUGCCCAUUACCAAAGCACUAGCUCCUGUAGUUUCCAGAGUGUUUUGAGCAACAUUAUUUUAUUUCUGGCCAUCUGCCCAUUUUACAGAUUACAAAAUCAAGGCACUGAGAAAAGAGAAGUAGCUUGUCCUAGACAUACAGUGAACAGGAAAUAAGGCUGUAGAAUCAAACACAGUCUCAGUCCUUUUCACGGCCUCCUGCAAGGCCAGUGGUGCCAGCUGGGGUCAGUCGGAUCUUCUGAUCCAGAUUUGUUCUCUGGACUUCCUCCUAGAGAUGUGACUUUACACAAGACAGUGCCUGACAGUGCAACAGCCUGCAGGUCACACAGUGGAGUCCCCAUGUUUGGGUGACAGAUGGUUCCUGAGUGUCUCCCCAAGUGAUUGGCUUUGGGGUGUGAGUGUGUGUGCAUGUGUGUGUGUACAUGCAAACAUGUGCAUGUGUGUGUGUGUGUGUGUGUGUGUGUGUGUGUGUGUGUGUGUUUGUAUACGUGCAUGUGUAUGUGUGUGUGUUUUUUUCAAACUAUAGCAAAAUUAAUUGUCACACAUGCCCGGGACCUUAUUUUAAUGCAAGUAGAGCAUCAUUAGGAAUUCAGAAUUAGGUAGCUCAGCAUUAAUUACCUUUUAUUUAUGGAGUAUGUUUAUUGUCAUUAACAAGACAAAUGCUUGAAGGGCAGGGAAGGAGGAUUCUUCAGGAGCAGGUGGAUUUAAGAAGUAAUGUGUGGGUGGCAAAAUCAGAAAUGGCGUCUUUCUUUCUUUCUUUUUUGUCUUUUUCAUUUUUAUUGGUACCGGGGAUCAAACUCAUGACCACCUGCUUGCAAGGCAGGUGCUUAUGCCGCGGAGCUAAAUCCCCAGCCCUGUGUUUCUUUUUUUACUUGUAUUCUGUCUGAUUCCUGUGUUCUGAUUCUCCUUACCCCUUUCCAUAGGCUCUGUGUCCAUCUUGGGAAUUCUGAUCCUGUUUUAUCCCUAUUGUGCCGUCUACAGUGUCAAAUAGCCAGGCCUGCUUUCUGGGAUACAUACACCUCCAGGUUCCUGUUCCUGAUGGAAAGGGGCCAUGAGAUGAAGCUUUAGAAUGCCAAGCUUUCAUCAUGUCCCUGCCAUCUUAAAAAGCUUAUAACUAUUGCCAGGAGUGGUGGCAUAUGCUUGUAUUGUCAGCAAUGGGGAGGCUGAGGCAGGAGGAUUGCUGCAUAGCCCAGCCUGCAUAGCCAGCACUUUAUAGUGAGUUCAAGGCCAGUUUAAACUACAUAGUGAGACCCUGUCUCAGAAAAACAAGAAAAAAAUUACAACUAUUAAUUAUCUGCAUUUUACUGAACAUGUAUUAUAUCCUGGGUACUUCUGCAGCACACAUGUUAUUUAUGGCCUAAUAAUUCUUUGGGGUAAGGGAUAAUUACAUGGGGUUUAUAGAUGUGAAACUUGAGACUCUGAGUUUGAGUCAAUAGCUUGAGGUCACAGAGAAAAAAUGACUCAGAUUUGUCACCAUCCAAUAUCACUCCCACAGGGCCAUCAGAAAGGGCCAGACAGAACAUGCUCACCACACAGCUGGGCAGGAGCUGAGCCUUGGCACUUGGAGCCAUCGGGGUCCAAGCAGCCCCGCAGGGAGGCCAAAGGACUUUGUUCCAUUUUCAGCUUCCUCUGCCUUCUGUGUGUGUCUUCCCACAGUGGUCUUGAUCUGGCUGAGGGCUGUUUGUUUUCUAAAGCUAAAAAUCAAACUGGGAUUAUGAUGCAUGCCUGUGAUCCCAACACUCGGAAGGCUGAGGCAGGAGGAUCACAGAGUUCAAGGCCAGCCUGGGCUACAUAGUGAGUUUUAGGGCAGCCUGAGUGCACAGUGAGACCCUGUGUCAAACCAAAAAACCAAAAAAAACCCUAAAAAGAUGGGAAGAGCCAUGACUGUUUUCCUUUCCAACAGUGAUCUCUUCUGGAAAACAAGACUUGGAAGCCUUGGUUGGGCUGCCAUGGCCCCCUGUCCCCAGUGGGUAGCAUGAGAUGGUACACAGCCCAACAAACCUGAGUGCUUGGUCCACUGAAUGUGGCUUCGUAAUUGGUGGCUGGCAUGGGGUAAGCCCGCCUCUGCACUGUGCUGGGACCUCUGGUGUGAUGGGGCAGGCAGGACCAGGGAGAUUGGAUCUCCCAGCUCACACUUGGUUCUCCCGUUUGUUUCAAGGUCCUUACAGAGGCCGUGUGUGUCUGGGGAUCCUCACCUGGCCUUAGGUGACGGUGAGGUGCACCUGCUUGCCUGCAUUCCACAGACUGGGUAGCAGAGAUUGUGGACUUAUUUACUGAGCAUCUAUGACACUGAAGGCUUGAGAAGUCUGGAAUCCGGGAGGAGGAGAAAGAAACGCACUUGGGGUGGGAAUGUCACAACCUAGGCUGGGUUUGAAUGCUCCUUGUGUUACCUUCUGCUGUUUAUCUUUUGGGGAUCUCACUCCUGCGGGAAGGAGUGGGACCCCCUUAUUCUCCAUUUAGCAAGAAGCCUGGCACAGUAUACAUGCUGAAUAACACUGUUGAGAGAAUUCAGUGUGAAGAUGAGGACAGAAUGCUUAGGAGGGUCGGCCGCCAUGUGUCAUUAAUAUAAUGGGGGAGAGGGAAGCACCACUUCUGCAGGGCCUUGCUGGCCAAGGAGGAGCUGGCUGGGAGGAGAAUGAGCAUCUCUGGGACUCCGAUGGGGAAGACAUGGAUGCAUGGGAACUUGAUCAAGGACGUUGAUGGGCAGGGGUGGAGAGGAAAUGGACUGAGCCGCCAGGCUGGUGAGUGGUGAAAUCCAAGAUUGGAGCCCAGAACUUCUUAGCCCAGCUCAGGUGGCUUCUGGGCCAUCCAGCGGUCUCCUCUUCGGUUCACUUUUACCACAGAUUGUGUAUGCAUCUCCUGUGAGAUGCUCUUUGAAUUAAGAGCUUCUGAGAAGCAGCAUUACACAGAGCAUUCGGCAGGGAUCAAUUCGUCCUUCAGUUUCCUUCUGCACAAGCCUACAGGCUACUGUUGGUGGUCACGGCCAAUCGGCGCAGCCCUUGCAGGCCGCCCUAGGCCUGGAGCUCACCAUGCGGUAGAGGUGGAAACCAAGGCUGAGGUGCAGGUGGGGACUCCCCCUUCCAACUCUGUCCCUGCUCUGUACGGCUCUAGCUCACUGCCAAACUGUAGCUGCCGCGACUUAGUUUCCAGUUUGAAUAAAAUGUCAUUAUCCCUAAUAUGACUUUAUUCUUUCCAUCAGAAGCUGGAAGAUUAGAGGAUUGGAGGCAACCAGUAAUUAGGCUCACCUGUCAGAGCUGCGCUCAUGUCAGAGCGAAGUGCGUCCUCUAACUUCGCCUUGCAUUUCUCUGCAUGUCAAGGCAGCUGUCAAGGCAGCUGGAUUAAGCUCCUUAUGGGGACGAUGACUGACCCCAAAAUGUUAGAACAAGGAUUACCGAGAUGGAAUUUGGCUCAGUUACCUGCUUGUCAUGAUUUAGGAGAGCUGGAGAUUCUCGAGCUGCUUAAGGAAAGUACUCAUUGGUGAGGAAAGCUGGGUUCCAAACCAUUAACAGCUGGUGGAAAUGGUUUCUAAGAUCGCAGCGUGCGGACACGAUAUUCAUCUGUACCCCAGAGAUGAACUUCAGGCCAGUCCGGGGACAAAAGUGAAGAGUCCACAGAACCUUUCAGUGCCAUUUGUCAUCUGUGGCUUUGAGGGAGCUGUGUCGCAUACUUUGUUCCCGAUGAUGGGCCACAUGAGCCAGAGGCUGGAUGGGUCUUUGUUCUCCACUCUUGAAAAAUUACAGUCUGGCGUACUUCAAAGGGAUUCUAACGAGGCUGUCCGAGGCACAGACUCCAGCUUUGCACAUUCAGAUUUCAGCUCCACGGAGUUCAGCGCAGCUCAGUUUCGGUAGUGAACAUUCGGUCUUUUCCUUUCUUGGGUCCAGGUAGGGUUGUCAUGGAGAUGCUCCAUCAUUUUCAUUGUCACCCUGGCUUUCCUCAGUUGCUUCUGCUGUGUCCAUUCUGUCCAGGUAGCUUUGACUCUCGGUGACUUCUCGCCAGCUCCAUCCCACUCUCAUGCUGCCUCAAUGGCUCUCAACGACUGUUUUUUGCUGCUUCCAGAACAUUCCCCAGUGUAGGAAACUGGAGAUAUUCAGUCAGGAAGGGGCUUUCUAAAUAGCUCUAGUUCAAUCCUCACUUCAUAUAGAGUAACUGAAGCCCAUAGAGGGAAAGCAACUUGCCAAAGAAGUCUGCAAGCUCCCACAUACGAGCUAUACACACCCCCAGUGCUGCCCCAUGAGAGCUUCAAGGCCCUGACAAGGCACAAACCGUCUGUCUGCUGGGCUCUGCACUGGUCCUUUUUGUGCACACCAAAUACAGUUCUCACCUAGUACUCUACAGUAGGAAAUCUGGUUUACAGAUGGAGAAACUGAGGCAGCUUUCUGCUCACGCUGGAUGCUGCCAGCUCUUGAGAGUCAGUUGUGUGUGUCUUUCCCCAUCUCCACAUUCAGGAUAGCAGCUUGCUGGUUGGACUUGGCCACAGUGAGACUAUUUACACAACAGAAACUGGCAAAUGCUACAAAUCAGGGCUUUCUCUCUCCGUCCCCUUCAGCAUUAGCAGAGAUCCGGUUUACCAGUACUCCACGGAAAAUGAGGUAACUUGCUACUUGGGGAGGAAACAGGUCUCUGACUUUAAAACCUGAGCUCUUUCCCAAUACCCUGCAGUGCUAAUCAGCACUUUAUUUCUGUCUUCAACUGUACUGUGGUUUGAACACAGGACCUCCUGCAUGCCAGCUGGGCCACACUCCAGCCCUAAUAGGCCAGGUUUGCAAUGCCUCAUUCCCUCUUGGCUGGAGGUGACGCAGGAGAAGCUGGGCACCGAGGGUGGUGGCAGAGUGCAAGGGUUCUCGUGUGGCCCCCAGGAGAGGGAGAUUCCCCGACCACACUCUGCUGUAACCACUGGCCACUGCCUCUCGUGCUCUCCCAGUGCUUUGAGUUUCCCAGCUGGCUUCAGCUCAGGCCCUCUUGUCCUGGCUCCCGCUGCCUCACAGGCUCUUCCUCCGAAGCACAGAGCUUGCUGCCCACUCCCUUGUUGUCUGUGCUCUUCCUAGACCAGCCCAUCUAGAUUAGCAUCACUCUGUUCAUUUCCGUGUUGAUUCUCAUAACUCAGUCACCAUCUGUCUUCGCCCCACACACGUGUUUGCUUUGGGUCUUCUCUCACUGUGGAAUGUAAGCUCCAGGUAGGCGGGACCUGUGUCAUGUUCACCUUUAGCUUCAGAGUGCAGAAUAGGGAGGGACUGGAUGGAUGAAGGUGGGUGGUGUUGGACCCUGUGUGCCGCCCUUCCUGGACUUAGCUUGGGCAGACAAGCACCGGCUCAGAUACUUAACUUGGAAGGCAAAGGCUUUCUCCCGGCUCUCUGAUUUCACCAGGUCUUCCAUGUGUAUAAACCAUCUUCUCUCGACCCUUGGGGCUAUUUCUUUCAUGUUCCUGCAUUACCCCAAAAGAAGGCCAACUGUCACAUUGGCCAGUGCUGAUUUGCUGACAAAUAAUUCAUCAAACAUUUUGCAAAGGAACCUUUGACCCUGGGAACUAAUUACAUUUCCAUCUUGGAAGUGAAUGUAUCUGUGUCAUUUAAACCGAUUAUUUAAGAGGGUGUUUGGGGCUGAUUGACUGUGACCUUUGGAGAAACAAAUAAGAGGGUGCUUAGGUGACAGCCAGUCAUGGGAACAGCUGCAGGGAUCCAGGUGAGGUGCCUGUACUCUCAUCGUGACCUGGAGAGCCACACCAAUAUUGUUUUCCACAUUUCUGAGGCCACGCCUGCUGGUAAACACAGAACCAUGUGUGUUAGGUGUGUCCCCCUCACACUCACAUACACCCAGCUGCCUUUUUCACUUACAAGUUUCAUAGAUUGCGGAAAAUUUCAGCCAUGUGGACAAGGGAAAAAGAUAAUUAGAAAUCUGGGAUCUCAGCCCAGAGAUAACAAUUGUGAAUAUUCUGAUUGGUUUCCUUCGUGGUCUUUCUUCCCUACCAAUGUACAGUUAGCAUUUUGUAACCCAUAUUUUGAAAGACUUAAUACAUCAGCUCCAUGUCCUUAAAUACUUCUGCACAGUCUCUUUUUUUUUUUUUUUUUUUUUUUGUCUUUUUCCUUUUCAUCGGUACCGGGGAUCGAACUCACGACUGCCUGCUUGCAAAGCAGGUGCUUAUGCCGCUGAGCUAAAUCCCCAGCCCCUCUGCACAGUCUCUUUGACUAGCUGGAAAGUAUUCUGAGGGCAUCAUGAUUUAAGUCACUGCCGGCCAUCGGAUGGGUGUACUGUUUCCAGCUGUCAGGAGAACGUGGUCACGGAGCGACUGCUGAUGAGAUUUAGCUAAGCAGCUACACCCUCGAGGUCAUGCGCUUCAGUACCUGGGAAGGAACCGAUGUGGACUAAACAUCUACGUCUCCCCGCUAUGCACUGAACCCCUCAUCCCAGAGGCAGUGGUGUUUGGAGAUGGAGCCGUGGGGGUAGUCAGGUUUAGAUGAAGUCAUGAGGCAGCAUGAGAGCCCCAUGGUACCAUCGCUGCCGAAGAGAUGGAACUCUGCUCUCUCCAAGGUGUGAGGUGGGCCAUUGUCAAGAACCCAACUGUACUGACACCCUCAUCUUGAAUUUCCAGCUUCCAGGACUACGGAGAGUAAGUGUUUGUUGUUUAAGUGCCCUCUCUUGUGCUAUUCUGUAGUAGCUGUCCAAGCUGAUCGAGACACCCCAACCUCACUGAAUCCUCCCCCUAUACUUGCCAUUAUUAUGACCAUGAUUUGACCGCAGGGCCUUUGCAUAUUCUGUUCUCUCUGUUUGAUGGCCUUUUUGCCUGACAUCCCUUCACCUAUUAUAGAUUUCUUCUCCACCCCCCUCCAGUAAUACAUUUCUUUGCGUUUUAGUAUUUCUGAAUCUAAAAGUUAGUGUGCAUGUUUGGAUGGUAGUGACUCAUGGGCUUGAGAAAGACUACACUCCCCUUCCUUCCCAAAGUUCAGCUCAGGCAAUGCCUCCUGUGUUUGGGGUCCCUCCUGGGCCCUCAAAACCCCUUCUUCCUCCUCCUCCUCCUCCUUCUUUGGAAACACAAAGCUGUCUUGUUCCAUACGUGCCUGAUAGCCAGGCUCCAGGAAAGGUGCUGAAGCAAGACAGGAUGAGGGAAGCUAUGCCUACCCGUGAUGGCUGGAGACCUCCUUCCCAGACGCCCUGUGGGCAGGACAGAACCUCUCGCCUCUGCCAGCUGUGAGCUGCUCCCACUGCAGGCCCAGGCUGUGUGUGCUGGCUCUCGGAGGGCAGAAGGCAGGUGGGUGGGAGGAGGUUUGGGUCCUUCACGCCCAUGUGGCUGUAAGGAGCUUCCAGGAAGCCAUACACCAGCACAGCCAGCGAUUGUUCCUUGUGCUUCAGAAUGACACUCUGGAGUCACAAGUGCUUGGAUUUCAGCUUUACAAAAGGGCCUGCUGGAGAGAUCGCCUUUCCUGCUGUCCCUCUGGCCCAGCCCAGUAUACAAUGACCAUGAAACAAAUUGGCCAUUUGAGCCACCUUUCAGUGCCCCCUCCUCCCGGCUUCUCUGCUUUCUCUCCCUGCUCCCGGGCCUUUCUCUUUGUUCUGAGUUCGCCUUCCCUUAUCUGCCCUGCAUGACUUUUACUUUGGUUUUUGCUGAUUUGCUCCAGUUCCGGAAAGAACGCAGUACCUGUGAGCCCCAGGCAGUGUCUGCACAGAGGUGGGAGGACACAAGAUCAUCCUUUCUGGUUGGGAAGGUGAAUGGGCAGCUGCUGAUUUGAGAAGGACAGGAAGGAUUCUAACAGGUGACCAAAUGGUGGAAGAAAGGGAAAAGCCAGCACAAGCACAGGCAAGAGCAGGAUGUGAGGACUCAGAAAGGCGAAGCAAGUACUUAGAACAUCCAUAGCUGACCUGCGAUGUGCUGGCCAUGGCCAUUUGUGGGUGGCUCGGGCCUCAUGCAGGUCCCUGUUUCUGGUAGCUCAUUGAGUCUCUUCUCACGUUUAUUUGCACACUCGAGCCCCACAACAGCCCUUCUGUUGUUGUCGUGUUACACAUCGGGUCAUUGAAAACAGGGCGGUGAAGUGAGCUGCCCACAGUCACAGCACGGCUGAGAUGAGACGUGAGAGCUGGACUCUGUCCUUCUCUUAUCUUUCUAAUGUGUUUAAGCUCCUGCCUGCAUCCAAGGCAUUGUGGCAAGGGUGAUUUGAUGCCAUCAGAAGAUUCCAUGCAGCAGGUGGCUUCACCCAUUGCCAGUGUCUUCUCUUCAAGUCCUAGAGGCCACACACCCCAAAAUCAAGGUGUUGGCAGGCAUGGCUCCUUGUGAGAGUCCUCCAGAAGAAUCUGUCCCUGUAUCCCCUUGGCUUCUGGUGGUUGCCAGCAACUCUUGGGAGAUAUUCUUUGGCUUGGACCUGCGUCUCUCCAAUCUGUGUUUUCAUCUUCACCUGUCCUUGUUAUAAUGACAUCAAUCAUUGGAUUUAUGACUCACCCUCAUCCAGGGUGAGCACUUUAUAAUGAAUCACAUCUGCAGAAACCUCAUUUUCAAGUUAGGUCACUUCUGAGGUUCCAGAAGACACUAAUUUAAGGAAAAACAUUCAGCAUAGCUUAGGCCCAUCUCAUGAAGAGCCUACAGGACCAUGCAGAGGAUUUGUGCUGUGGGCAAGGACAAUCAAGGAGGGGCUUCAGCAGGGGAGAUUGACCUGUCUAUAAUCCCACACUGUGGGAGCUGGAGGCAGGAGGGACUUAAGUCUGAGCCCAGCCUGGGCAGUUUAAAAAUUCAUGAGGACUCGUGCUCAGGCUGUGCUCAGGCUGAUCAGAAUGGGGAGCAAGCUCUUCCAAAUCUGAAAGCAUUAAUCACAACAAAUCUGUUCCCAAUGAGAGCUCAAAAGACCAAUCAGGACCUGCUUCUCUGUUGGUUUCCCUGUCCUUCCUUUGCAUCCAGCCCCAUGGGUCCCUGGACCUUCAGCACAGAGCCCUUUCCUACAGUCUCCCUGGGAUAGGAAGUGUGUGCAGCAGCUGCCCGGGGGCAGACUGGGAUGGGCUACUGAGUCCAGGGGUCCUGGGAAAGCUUGAUGGAGUAGCCUGUGCCAGGUGGAUGCAGAUACAGCAGCCCUAGGUGCAGCUUAUGAACCCUGCAUUCACCUGCCCCUGCAAAUGUGGGACAGGAAAGCCCAGGGGAGUCUCAGCCCUGCUCUGGUGGUAUAAACCACAGGCCCCCUCUGCCUUGGCCCUUGCUUAAGCCUUGAAUGGGCUGUAAAGGAGUAGGUUUGGGGGUGGCACAGUUGGCCUCAGCAGGUGCUUGGAGGCCUCAGGCUUCUGUGGUUUUUUAGCAAAACUCCCCAAGCACGUAGCAGAAUUUCUUCAGAUCCCUGGGCUGGAGUUCAGGUAAGGCAGCAGACAAAGAAAGUUUGAAUACCUAAAUUAAAACCAUGUGCUCCUCUAGGGGCCUGUGACCUAAGACAAAUUGCAUGAUCUCUCUGAGUGCCAGUUUAUGGGCUCUGAAUGAGAGUGGGACAUAAAUUUUCAGGAGGAUGAACCUCUUAAGGCAUGGUUUGGGAUGGGAGGUGUGAGGAAAAUGCCCAGCCCUCUAUGCAGCACGCAGGGACAGCUUACCUGGUGGCAGGUAUGGAGCAUCCUACACCUUGUUCUGAAGAUGCUUCACAGAGUGUCUUCUUGGGUCUGCAUCACAGCUGCAGAAGUUAGUUCUACGAUGACCUCUGUUGUUGUACAGGGAGGGAAUUGUGACUUGGAGAAGUUAGGUCAUUGCUGAAGGACAAAGAACCAAGGAAGUGUGAGAGCCAAAUGUAGACCCCAGAGCCUGCAGUUUCUCCACCUGCCUGUGCUGCCUCUCUCAAUGCAAUCUUUGUUAUCAACUCCCAGCCCUCGGAACCAGCCUCUCCAACCUUGAAACUCUGCUUCCCAGCAGCCCUGCAGCUUGGGGUCACUGCCACCUUGCAGAGGAGACCUGUGGACAGGAGGCUUUGCCUGCUCCAUUCAUUGAGCACCUACUCCAUAAUCCCAGCUGCCAGGAUGGGAAUGAGCAGGGCAAGAGGGCUCCUGCUUCAUCCAGCUUGUGUUUUAGUGCCAGAAUACACAGGAUAAAAUCAAUAAGCGAGAUAAUUCCCAGCAGUGGGGAGGGGGUGAAGAAAAUAAAACUUCGUGACACAGUGACAUUCGGGGAAGGCCUCUGGGCUAUUGGAAUGGCCCAGAAGAGGCAGCAGGUAAAAAGUACCAGGACAAUCUCUCAGGUGGGGUCACACAGGCUUGGAGGAGUUGGGAGGAUUGAGGGGAGCAGAUGAAAGUGGGGUGAUGUCAUCAGGAGCAGUGGCAUGGGCUGGGAGUGUACUCCUGUGACUAUUCAGUCCUUAGUGAUUAUGUCCAGCCAGAGAGGAUGGCUAAGCAAGGGGCCAAGCCUGAUCAGGGCAGGGGGCUGAGCGGGGAAUUGGGCUCUGGCUGGGAGCUCAAUGGAGCCCUUCAUUCUGCUGAGGGGUUGUGGGUCCCCUAUACUCAGGCAGCUGGUGAGCCCAGUCUCAUGCAUGGGGAUGACAGUAUUGAAAAUUACCCUGUGCCAGCUGCAGCCAGCAGCAAAAAGGAGUCCAGAUCUCAUCAGGAAAGCCGUGGUUACCACCCGUUGUCCGACACCCCUGAGCCUGCUGAUGGGAUUAGAACCCCCUCCGAGGAUUUCCCAGGAACAAACUGCCCACAGAGAACUAUGGGUAGAUGCCAUAAAAGUGAUAAAAUUUCCCUCCCCCUGGAGAGGAGGAAGUUGCUGUGUGGAGUUGGUCAGAAUGAAAUUGUGUAAUGCUGGUCCUGGAUGGCACUUUAAUGAUAGCUGGUGAAAUUUAGGGAUGGGGGAAAAAUACCAAGAAAAUCUUUGUCUGACUGGGAAGAAACAGAGCAAGCUGACCUUUUGGCUUGAGAGAAGGGUCAGCAGCAGCAUGGCUUGGACCGCUGAGGUCAGACCAAGCUGGGGCUGCUUCCAAAGUUUCACUUACUUCCUGUCCCUGUGUUCUUGGGCAAAUAACUUAACAUCUCUAGUGUCCCAGUUUCCUUAUUUGUAUAAACAUUGAUGUAACAGUGAUGCCCACCUCAUGGGUUUUCUUUACAUUGACUGAACAAUAUAUAUAAAGUACUCACACACCCUGAAUCAUUGUGCCUUGAUAAAUGAUUGCUGCCGCUCCCACUUGAGGUGCCAUGUGGAAGGUGUUGGUGGUUGUGAUGGGGAGCUUGUGACAGUAGCAGGGACAGGGACAUCUUCUCCAUGAGCUUGGUCUUCCAGAAUGUCCUGCCAAGGUGAUUUCUUUUUGAUUCCCAGAUAAGUGCUAUUUAUCUUAUAACUCACCUGUAUUUCCUGGGGGGCAGUUUUGAAAAGGAGACCAGACUGCAUCAGUGAAGAUUUCUGGACACACUGAGAGUUUAAAGCCAGCCUUUGUUUCAUUUCACGAACUGAGGGGGGUGAGCCCUGGUCUGCAUGUGGGACUCCUGGAGAAAAGUGUUCAACAUAAUGCAAUGGUUCUAGGCUCUGUUCCUGUCCAGUCCUGGCCCAGCUCCAGGUUUGUAAGCCCGCGGUUCCUCUAAUGUCACCAGCAAUACAUUAUGAGAGCUGAUCCUCCCUGCUAAGUGUGCCCUGAUAUGUCCCUUUGGUAGGCCCUUUGGGUUCACCAUGCGUUCCAAUACUUUGUGGUACCCAGGACUGAACCCAGGGUUUUGGCACUGAGCGAUGUCCUCAGCCUUUUUUUAUUUUUUUAUUUUGAGACAGGGUCUUGCUAAUUUGCAAAGUUGCCCAGGUUGGAUUUGAACUUGCAUUCCUCCUGUCUCAGCCUCCCUGCAUGCUGGGAUCACGGGCGGGUACCACCGUGCUCAGCUGAACCCAUUUCUUUCCACUAUGCAGAAUGCAUUUCCUAUCUUCAUUUCACACUACAUAAACAGCGCCCUUUCAAAAAGAAUCUGAAGAGUAAGAGAGAAGAAUUGAGUGUCCUUUCUGAGAAGGAAUUUAGCGGUGAGAACCAGAUUCUGCCCAAUAACUGAGGUUAGGAAGAAGCAGUUAGGGGGACACCUGCGGUUGACUUAGGCCCUGAGAUCUGUAGGGGAAACCAGGGAGGAAAACAGUAACAACUCAGCAGCACAAGCAGUAUUUGCUCAUGAGCUCUUCUUGUCAUGGGCAUGGUGAGUAAUUCUGCCCCAGGAUCCUAUCGAGUUUGCUUUGUGCCCCGAGGUGUAGAGUUUGGAAAAAUACCAGUGCUGGCGGUUCUUCUGCAUUGAGGAGGAAGGAAAGAUGACUCCCGUGGGAUUGCUGGUUCUUGGAAAAUCAUUACUCACCUGAUCCCGGGUGGGAAUGGAGGCAGAGUGAUUGGGACUGCCUUAAGGGAACCUGCCACAGGGCCUCUCACACCGAGAGGCCGUCUGGAGACUUUGGAGUUCCAGGAGUCAUCACUCAUUGAUUUUCUUUUUAUUGCGCACCUACUAUGUGCCUGGCACUGGAGCACACAAUGGCUGUGACUCCUUCAUCGUGGACUUUACAGAGACAAAGCAAGAAAAUGAGUGAAUGAAGAAGUCCAGUCCAGCAGGUGACAGUUCCAUGGAGAAAGCAGUGAUGUGCUAGGUAGUGCCGUGCGAAUUUAGAUGAGGGGCAGUGUUAGGCUGGGAAAUCCACCGUGUAAACCAGAGAGCUGGCCCAGUCUGUGAGGACAGCCUUGGGUCUCCCCUUGCAGCUUUAUGCCGAGCCUGGCUGCUGUCACCCUCGGGAGGGUCCCUCGGGCCCAUAGUCCCCUCCUGGGGUUGAAAGUUUAGCGUUGCUUUGGGGCACAGAAGUUGCUGGCUAGAGGACUCACCUUCGCCCUUCCUUGGGUCCACAUCAAGCCCCGGACAUGGAGCCUUGAAUCACUGGCUCCCUGACUUCUCUUAGGCGAGUCCCCCGCCUUGUCUGUCCCCCUGCUGAGUCCUGGUACAGCCACCAGCAUCUCUGUGCAGGCUGCAAACUGUCUCCCUGGGUUCCUCCAACCCCCAUGGGACUCUCCACCUGGCAUCCAUUCUUCACAGUGGGCUCAGCACCGUCUUUUAAAGCAUCUUUCAUGUCAGGCAUGCCCAGGCACACCUCCCGGGUACUCUUCCCUGCCUCUCCAUAAAUACUUAGGGUAAUGACUGAAGUCCCUGUGGUGACGUGGAAAGCCCACUCGGUGCAGGCCCCAGUCUCUUCUUCAGCCUUGUCUCUAGACAUUUGCGGCUGAGUUUCCAAGUCUGAGCAACAGGGCCUUUCCUCCAGUUCCUGCCACACUCUCUCCUGCCUCUGCCUCAGAGUCUUUGCACAAGCCUGCAGGGCUCCUAAUCUGUCCUCCUUCACAUGUAUCCGCCUGAGUAACUUAGCUGUUCCUUUAGAGGGAGUCUUCCUUAUGCCUCAGCGACAUCACAGACACAGCAUAGGACACCUUGGUUACAUGUUCUGAACAGCGCUCUGUAGUUUCUUUCACACAUCUAGCACACUUGUGUUUGCGUGGGAGGUCUCCUUCCUGAGCUUCUCCACAGUGAAGAGAGGCACGCUCACAGAGACCUUGGCUCUUAAAUAUCCCACCUGGCUGUGCUACUUGCUUUAAAAACACGGCACAACACGAGGCUGUCUGUAUUUUCUGUUCCAAGCUCUGCCUUACAGAGAUGGUGAUUGAUACCCAAGUUCAAGCAGAAGCCCAGCAAGUGGGAGCUUGGUGGAUGAACGGCUUGCUCAGGAAGUCUGUUCUUGCCUCCAGCUAUCAGAGCCGUGCUAUUUUCUUUGGCGCAGAGGGCUUGAAGACUGUGUAUACUCAGGGAAACGGUGUAGACCCUUGGUGUGGAGUCGGGGCCAGGGGUCAUGUUCAAAAAAUAAUCAAGUGAAAGAGGGUUGUGUGAAGCCUGGUGGGGGGACACCGCUGCUCUCUGCUGCUAAGGAAUCAGAACUUCUCCCUUGUGUCAAUGUGGAAGUGAAUGAAUCAAGCUCCGUUUUAUGCCAUGCCUGGAAAAAUACCGGGGCUGGACUUGCAUCGUGUCGGAAAGCAAAGCCCAGAUGCCAGUCAGUCUCCACUCUCGGAGAGCCUGUGCAGGAGGAGAGAGUCAGCACUCCCGGGCCGUGGGGACUUCACUGCAGUGCAGGGAGACUGGAGCUGUGGAUUUCCCCCAUGCCUUUUUUGAGGUUACAGACCCAUUUGAAAAUGUGGCAAAAGGAACCCUUCUGGCCCUCCACUGUAUUACCUCUGCAUAAUGUGUGCUUUCAUGAAACCCCAUCAGUGGGGUCCCUUCAGGGCCACAGGCAGUGUUAAAAGUCCCAGUGAUUGGGGCAGAAAGAAGUUAAUAAGGAGGAGCGAGGAUGUACUGCUACGUGAUGUGAGGACUAAAGAAGAGAAUCAAAGCAAUGCUCUCUGACUAGAUUUCCCCCACACCUUCCAUUCUGAGCACGCGUGUAUGGCAUGGGGUGGACGUGUGUCACAGUGGGGCAAUGCAGAUCCCCGGGGUGUGGGGGGAGCCUUGGGGGCAGAGUCGGCUCUCAGACCACUCUAAGCAGCUCUCCAGUCUUAGCCCUCCUCGGUGACCCAGCCACAGGAAGGCAGGCAGCAUGGGAUUGCGGUUUCAGGCUGUCUUACUUGCUCAUGGCGCACUGCGGACCUGGCAUGGUGCUUGGCACUUGAUAGGUGCCCAGCCAGUGUUCGUUGACUGCCUGAGUCAGUCACUCCUGGGUUGCCAACGUUCACUCUGUCUUCUCUUUCAUUUUGUCCUGCAUUCAUCAGAUCUCGGAGUUGUGAUUUGCUGGCUCUAGAAAUCUAUGUAGAGCAUUUCCUAGGCUUCUAGUGGAUCAUAAUUGGUCUCUAGGCACAGAAUAUGCUGGCUGAAAAAUCUUGCUCGGGGUCCACUAUGCUUGGAUUAAAAAUCUCAGUUCGUAUGUUACAAAACACUAAGAAAAAAUUAAAAAUUGUAAAAUCUUUUGCUGCUUGGAUGUAACGAAUAUCCCAGUUUUCUCAACUGAGGAUGGGAAGCUGGGUAUGAGAAUUAAACAAAGUCUUACCGUCAAAGCACUUGGUGUAAUUAUUGACCCCGAGAUGCAUGUCGUUUCGGUAAGUGUCAGCUGUAGUCAGGUGUGGUGGUGCAGGCCUAUAAUCCCAGCACGCUGGGAGGCUGAGGCAGAAAGAUCCCAAACUGCAGCCUAGCUGGGGUGACUUGAUGACACCCUAUCUGGAAAUAAAGGAAAUAGCUCACUGUGGGGGCCGGGGCUCAAGUGCUAGUACCAAAAAAAAUAGAAAGACAAUUUAAAAAUACUCAAACUUUUGUUUUAUUGUUUGGCUCCUCUAUGGGUCACUGGUCCUCUUGGGGUCACCUUUCAUUUCUAAAACCACAGUUCUGAACCCCAGAAAUUAAUCAUUGCUAAGUAUACAGUGGGUACUCGUCUUGUCUGCUUCAGACGGUCUUAGAAUGUUCAACCGUGGUUAUAAAGCUCCGGAGCACACACUUCCUCCCCUUCAUUUAUUAUCAUAUUUUAGUAUCAGUUAAUAAGCAUGCAUUAUUUUAUAAUUUAAUGAGUACUAUGUAAGAACAAUAUUGUCAUAAAAGUUUGUUUAACCAAAUUUACUAAAUCCAGUGGUGGGAAAUAAGAAUCUUUAUUGUAUCUGGUCUGUAGAAAUGAUUCCAGGAAAAUUUGUCCUCUCUGUCCCCAAAUCAAAGGGCCCAGCCCAAACCCCAAAAAAGGAAGGGCCUGUUCCUAAGUACACAGAGAUGUGCUGCACAGGUCUGUGGGUCCAGGUUAGGAAGCCUGGGCUCAGGGCCUUCUGUCCCUACCUGACCACUGACCAACUCAUUCAUAACUUGGGGAAAAUUGCUUACCUUUUUAAGCCUCAGUUUUCUCAUCAGAAAAAUGGGAGAAACAAGAUGGAAAAUUUUUUCCUUAGAAAUCGUUGUGGAAAUCAAUAUUAAAUUUUUCGCCUUCAAGACGACACCUUUCAUACGCUGUUUUCCCUUUUCUUUGCUCAAAUAGCAUCUGCAGCGUCGUCAUCCUUUCCAUUUGGCAUCUAAUCAUCAUCACAAGUGGAUCCAGGCCAAAACAGGUUUUCUGGCUUCCUGAACCCAUAUCACAAACCGCAGCCCCCUUGGUUUUCUGCAUCUUAGUAGAUGGCCCAACAUCGCCCCAGGGGUGAGGGGGAAAUCUGGGGGGGAUGGGCGUUCACUGCUCUUUUCCCCACACCUCUGUUCACUUGAUGGCUCUGUCCACACGUCUCAAAACCCAUCCCGCCUCACCAAGCCCGCUCCUUCUCCAGACAGUGAUCUCCCCCUCUGGUGCUGGCGCCCCAGCUCCAAACACCUUCUGCCCUCUCACGGAGCCUGGCAGUGCCUUAUUCAUGGUGUAGCCAGCGUCAGCAUGGACAGGUGUAUGUCAGGAUAUCCUCCAGCUUGCUGGGACCCAGAUGCUCACUGUCUUUAUGUCUCUAUGGACGAGGAGAAGGAAACUUUCCCUGCAGCAGGCCAGACAGGAAGUAUCUCAGGUUUUGUGGGCUAAUAAUGGUGGAAUCUAUCGCAAAGUCAUCCUCUUCUCCUGCUUCUCCAUCUCCAUCUCUGGCUCUUUCUCCUUCAAACCUUUUAAAAGCAGGAAAACAGUUCUUAGCUCAUGAGACGAGAUACCCAGGGCUCAGGCUGGAUGUGGCCUGCACCUGGUUACGGACUCCUACUCUGUCUCCAGCUGUCUCCUCUCUGUCACCUUGCUUGCUCUCUGGCCUCAGUGGCUUGCUUGUGGCCUUUAGACUUCCAAUAAUAUCCUGCUCAGGACCCCUGGCCUCCUGCCUGCUCUGUCCCGUGGAUCUUUGGUGUGGCUUGCUUACUGCUUUGGUUCACUGCUCUGUUUCCAGGAGGCCUCCUGGGGCUCACCUCCCCCUCACCCCUCCUCUUCCCAGGGGUACUGGCACUCAGUGGCUGGCUGCACUUGUCAUAAGACCUCCUAAGCUUUCUCUGCCCUCUCCUUACAUCCCCAGCCCUGUGGGGUCUACAAAUGCAAAGAGGAACAGGGUGAAGGUGCCAGGUUCCAAGAAGCACCUGACUCCCCAUGGGAUCCGAAGAUGAAUCUUUGCGUGCACAGGGUGGGGGAGUGAGCCGGGCUUUGAAGUAAAGGAACUGUCCAUCUCACAGGAAGCUGAUGUCAUUGGAACAUCUUAGAUGACAAAUGCUGAGAGGAGCCAGAGCUGAUGUCUCAGGAGGAGGCAGUAAAGCAGCUCCUGGAGCCAGGGAAGCCCUAAGAUAAACACCCCUCCCCAGCACAUGCAGCCAAGCCAGCCUACAAGCCCAUUAGUACAGACAUUUCUGGGUUGUUGCUUAUCUGGCCUCCAUGGGUCAUGGUGGAAAAAGCGGGUAGUUGGAAGCCACUUCAAGGAGCAUGGUGCCUCCUGGCCAUAAGCACAAAAUUCUGAGAAUCUCCUAGGGCCUGCCAAUUGGCAGAUUCCAGAUGUACCCUUUUCCCACCCCAGCCUUGGGAGAAAUGUGUUUGGAUUAGGGUCACUGCAGAAAGAGAGCCUGAAUCCCUUCCUUCCUGUGGCCACCAUAGGAGGUGUCUUGGGAGUGGGCUACAGGGAGUGAUCCCAGGGAAGAGCCCACGAGGACCUGACACUUCCACCCUCACGUUCUGGCUCAGAGCCGAACAACAAGCUUGGCUGAACCUGAUGUCCUGGGAUAUGAUGCACGGAGCUGUGAGCCAGUACAAACAGCCUUGUGCACCAGGCAGGGACUGGACCAGUCUUGGCUCAGGAGUCAGAUUAGGGAGUGAAAAGAUAUAGCAACCUCUUCCUUGGAUACAAACUGGAGGGCGGAAAGAGUACUGGAAAGGAGAACUGUAUACUGUCCAGAUUUGGGGUUUCCAGGUCCAGAUCAUGAGUCUAGCUCUAGAUGUUAGUAAAUUCGACACCAUGGAAUAGGAAGUGAAAUGUAAAAAUACUCAGCAAACUUCAGCUCAGCUGUGCUUCAGAUGGGAGGUCAGACACUGUGACAUACUCUGAGUCUGUGCUGUGACCGGACCAGUUACUUGACCUUCCUGGGCUUUGAUGUUUUUACCUGUACCACCAUAAUGGUAAAUCUUGAUGUCCUUGUAUCAUGCAUUAUUAGGGUCAAAUAAGAGAACAACGUAAGUCUUUGCAAAGUUAAAAAAUGCUCUUGCGGGGCUGGGGAUUUAGCUCAGCAGCAUAAGCGCCUGCCUUGCAAGCAGGCAGUCGGUGAGUUCAAUCCCCGGUACCGAUAAAAAGGAAAAAGACAAAAAAAAAAAAAAAAAGAAUGUAAUCCUAAGAAAACAUAGUAGCUACGGAAGAUCAUUUGUAUUAUAGUUUUAUAAGUCUUAUCCAUUGCAUGUUUUUCUAGGAAAUUGUUUCGCUGUCUUGUUAUGACUUGGUUUUCCCUAUAAUACAGAGAGGAUAGGAACAAAUACUCUGAGGAAGAGACCUGAAAAACCCGAGGCUUAUUUUGUAGCAUUAUAAUAUAAAUUCUAGCAAUCUAUUGCUUGAUGAUUAGAAUGACAUUGGACUGGUUUCUUCAGCUCAACUUCAGCAUAUGCAGAGAUGGGGACGGCUAUCUCAAAGAGAGUGAGAGAUGUGAUGGUAGUUGCUAUUGUCUUCCCUAAUUUGGAACUUGAGGACCUAAAAAGACUCCAUCAUCCUGUAAUGAUUUGAUUAGUUCUAUAAUAUGCAAUAAGUAUAUAAAGUGGGUGAAGAUAGGGACAACUAUUUGUAAGAAGCUAGAGACAGUUAGAUAAGGUAGAUCUCCAGUGGACUUGCUUUGAAAUCUGUAUUUCUUUAAAUUGUUUUUUAUUUUUUAUUUUUUUUUAAAUGUUCUGUUCUGAUAUGGUUUUGAUAUGGUUAACCUUACCCUCUUAGAGAUGUAAAACAAAUAGGUGGGACUGAUAAUCAUAUUACGGAGCUUUUGUUCGACCAUAGAGCAGAAUGGUUUGUAGGGUCACUUUUUUGAAUGUCAUUCUAAAUACUUUAAUUCUAUAACCUGAACAGCCAUUUCGAAGAUGACAAUUUGUAACUUAUCAACUGGCAAUUUCUUACCUUUUGUUUGUCUGUAAUUUAGUAUUAUUCUUACCCUUUUUUUUAUCUCCAUGUAUUUUUUUCUUUUUUCGUUUCCUUUUCUUUAAAUUAAAAAAAAAAAAAAAAAAUGCUCUUGCGCCCAUGUAGCUUGAUCGCUAGCCUAGUGUAAAGCAGUGCCACCAAUCGGAGUGAUCACUGUUGUGCCUUGACACUGUCCCUGGGUUUCCUACGCAUGCUUACAGAUCCUCAGGGCAGUCUAGUGGGGGCAUCAUUAUCAUCCCCAGGCACAGGUGAAGCAGUAAGGCACAAAGAAGUUAAAUAACUCAGCCUGGGUCUCACGGCUGGCAGGAAGGACCAGAACUUGGAUUCCGCAGCAAAUCUCAAAAGGAUGCACUUGCACCUCCGGUGCUUGCAGCACAAUUCUUUCAGGCUCCCUGCCCAGUGCUGGGCUUCCUUGCAAAGAUAGCCAGAAGCCCGUCCAGUGCAAGCAAACUCAUCCCUAUCUCUUCCUUGUAGAACAGCUCAGUUGCUGCCAACUGCAGAGUCUGGUGUUUACCAACUCCCAGAGCUAAGGCUUCCAAUGGGAACUGUGAUCUCCACUGAUCCUGGGAAACAGGGAGCAAUGCCAGGCAGCGGGGGCACCUCUGGGUUCUGGAGGGCAGGCGCUCGUGGCUGGAACUUCCUGGUCACAGGCAGCAAACCUCCCCACCUCUGCUGUGUGCUGAGUAGGUCUCAAACCAUUUCCUUGAGAAAGCAGAGGCUGGGGGUGGCCUCUGAAAAGCAGGCCAUCCAUUCCAUGUUCUUGGGAGGAAGGGAAGAAAUGUAGUCAGCGCUUCCUCUCUGCAGCCUCUCCUGAAGGAGGAGGUUCUUUACCCUCUUAAAACAGGGGGCCGUUGCACUGCUGGGAUUAGGUGCAGCUUGGUGAGUUCCAUCAGCAGAGAGAAGUGGGUGAGGGCUUGUGUGACCCUCUCUCUGAGAAGCCUGUAGGAGUCUUCUGAAAGAUGCACUAGGGUGGCAACAAUGAGGAGAGCUAGGAGAGAAAUCACUAGAACCAUGGUCUUUGUCCUAGAUAAGAGAACAGCCAGAGAGCACUGUCCUUGGGUGUCAAGGGCUGUCCUCAUGCAGCCUAGUUCCAAAUGGCCUCCCUGGGGUGGGGGGAGAAGGAUUGGGAGAGAAGCAUCUAAAAAUAUGCAGAAAUUUCACAGACAGAAAUGCAUCCUGAGGGGCAAAGAACCACUCUGGGGACCUAGGACAUUCACCUCAUCACUGCAGGAGGAUCUGCUAAGUUGGGGUCAUGUACACUGGCAGGAAGGGUACUCCACUCCUAUCCUGUGGCCCCUGGAUCAGCAUUUGUGAUGGUAUCAGUGCAGGCCGGAGGCCCCUGCUGCAGUCUCCAAAGGAAGUGGGAAAAUCUAGGGGCAACUUUAGUUGGCCUCUGAGAGCUGCUCAGAAGUGGGGAACCCUAUGGGAAAACACAGAACAGAUUUCCCCUUGUGGGGGACACAGCCUGAAGUGGGCUCCCCAGUAGGAUCUUGAGAAAUUCUCCACCCAAAGGGUCACAUCUGAGAUACAUUUGAGAUGCAUGGUGGUUCCCCCUCAUCUGCAGUUUCAGUUUCCAGUGUGUUACCUGUGGUCUACUGGGGUCUGAAAAUAUUACAUGGAGGGCUGGAGAUAUAGUUCAGUGGCAUAAGUGCCUGCCUGGCAAGCACAAGGUCCUGAGUUCAAUUCCUUGUACAAAAAAAUUUUUUUACAAGGAAACUUCCAUAUUUUGAGAGACAGGCAAGGAAUCUGUGUAAGAGUACAUUCAAAUAAAGUAACAGUUGUCUCAGUAUAUUAUAAUUGUUCUAAUGUAUUGUUAAUUAUUGUUGUGAAGCUAUUACUGUGCCUAAUUUACAAAUUACCUUUUAUCAUGGGUGUCUAGUGGGAAAAAUAGCACAUAUGAUUCAGCAUGAGCUGCAGUUUCUGGUUUCCCUGCUGGCAGUCUUGGGGUACAUCCUCACGAAUAAAGAAGGCUAAUGCAUUUCACUUCCCUUUACCCCACAGACAGUCAGGCAGCUCAUGGACCUACUAAGCCUCCUAGACAUUUUGCAGUUAAAGCACACACACGAGGCUGUUGGCUAUACUGACCAUCCUUUCUACCAACUGACUUUGGGAAAGAAGUUUCGGGAGCUUACAGUUUUCUGAGCACCUUCACACAUGCUAAGUACCUCACCUGGUUUUCAAAACAACACUGAGAGAUAAGUUUGCUCCUGCCUGUCUUACCAAGGGGGCUGAGAUGCAGAGAGGAUUGUAACUUGCCCCCUGCUCACGGGGGCAUUUAAAACAAUAGUUCAGCAGCAUAGUAACUGCCUGCAAGCAUGAGGCUGUGAGUUUGAUUCCUGGUACCAAAAAUAAUUAAAAUAAAAUAAAAUAAAACACUAUACAGGACUGCUCAUCCUAACAGAAAAAUUGAAUGCAUUUGAUGGAAUUUUUCUAGUAGUAACACCCCACUGAAAACAACAAAACUAAACAAAAGUUACAAAACCUCACCAAACAGGCAUGGCACCUAUUAUUUAUCAAUACCCUUUCAGCUCAGAUUACACUUACAAUAUUUACUAUUUAUGGAUAGCUCUUAGGCUGACAUUUGAAUAAUGAUGUUAUCACACAGAGACAAAACUGCACAGGCUCAGUGGGUGGGUUCUGUAAGCAAAUGGGGUUUAAAUCCAAGCUGCAUCUUUUAGCAGCUAUGUGAUUUUGGGCAAGUAACUUCACUUUUGUUGUGCUCAUGUUCCCCUCUGUAUAAUAGUCUCACAACUGUAUCAUUGGGUUACGCUGAUGGUUCAGUGAGAUAUUCCACGCAGGUGUAUCAGAAUGGUGUGGGACACAAAGGAGCUGUAUGAAGGUUAACAGCCACCCUCACCUUUGUCAUUGAUGAUGAUACUGUGUCAAGUCCAUUUGCCUUGAGAGCAUGCCUGGAUCACAGCCAAGAUGUUGCAGGCCUGGCUGGGGCCUCUCUAAAGCAACUGUGCAGCUUUGGGAAGCUCACUUAACUGCUCUGUACCUGGUGUCCUAGGGGCUUGGGGGACAGGGAUGGGAUCAGCAGCCAUCCAGCAUCAUUCAUGGAGUGAUUCCAAGCAUACAUAAAUCCAGGUUUUAGUGAAUUCUUAAUGUCCACCUUUGGCCACAGCAGAGGCAGGAGAAACCUGUGGAAAGAGGUUGGGUCAGCUCUGGGGAGCCUCUCUGCUAGCUGGGCUCUAGGAGCUCAGAAAUGCCCAGAGCUUCUGAGGCCAGUCCAGCAGUAGUAAUGAUGAGCAGUGAGAUGUCAUAAAGUGGCCUGGAAGCUGAGAGCAAGUCCCCAGCUGCGCUCAGAUCUGUGCUUUGUGGAACAAGGGUAACUUCCUGCUGGGAUUUACCCAGUUGCCCUUUGUUGAAAGUCAGAUAGAAAGUGGGUGUAGGUAUACUGUCUCAGCUGCUAUGUCUUGGAUAUCAGGUUCUUCCCUUUACCCUCAUGCAGGGCCAGCUGCAGCUCCCCAUGGUGCUCAGAGAGGACCCUUUCUCCUGGGCUGGCGAAGGAGCUGGCUCUUGGAGUGGACAGCCAUGAGUGUGUGUGUGUGUGUGUGUGUGUGUGUGUGUGUGUGUGUGUGUGGCCACUUCCUGGGAGGAUUAGGAUGCUCCCAAAUGGAAUUGGCCUACUGACUGCUUCGUACCAAGGCAAAGGUCUCCCACCCCUCCACAGUGGAACAGUCCCCUGACCCCCUUUGAGGGGGUUUGCUGAAUUGCUCAAUCGUAUAACUGUUCCAUGAAAAGCGGCUCCAUUCGUUCCAGCAGAAAGUUCUCAGGCACUUCUCAGGAAGGAUGGCCUGCAGCUCCUUGGGAAAGAUGCUGCCUCUUCCAUCGCUAACCUUAAUCCCCAGGGACUAGAACUGGCCAAGAAUGAAAGGGCUGAGCCUAUGGGGAAAGUAAAAUCCACAAAACCACACCAACCCUCUCCUCCCCCAAACCACAGCAGCAGAAAACAAAAGCAAACCAAACCCAACUAUCCUGAGCAACCCAGCGAGACUAGGGCAACUCCUUCCAAAACUGCUUCUCUGAAUUACCCAGAUAGAUAUAAAACCAGAGCACAGGACGACAGUUGGAACCAGAAAACUUUUAAUGUGUCAAUCGUGGCUUUCCAGGUUUCCUGCCCACAGUUCUGUGGCAGAGCUUUUUGUUUUGUUGUUUCCUCUGAACACUUUUCUUUGUCCUUGCAUGAACCUCUGGCCCACUUGAGUGGUCUGGGUAAGCCUAAAAUGAGUCCCUAAAUCACUUUCCAAAGGGUCUGCAGGUCACCAGGCCCUGGGUCAUUCAGAAUGGGGGCGCAGCACCCAGGAAUGGGGGAGGCAGUUCUGGCCGCAGGGAAGCCCUUCAUGGCGGGUCAGAGGUCAUGCAAGAUUGCACAAUUUCAACCUUUAUCUGUCUCAUGGAGGUGAUGGGGGAGGGGCUGGAGGAGGAGCCCCAGGCUGGAGAUGUUGAAUUAAACAAAUAAAUACCAGGGGUACCUGGCAACUCUCAGACUCACAGAAAGAAUAUGCCUGCUCUUUGGAGAUGGGGCUGCCUUGAAAAAGCCAACAGCCACCUUUCCUGGAGCUUUCAAGUUAGUCUGCAAAGACUCAUCCAUUCAUCCUGAAACUUUUCCCUGCAGUGCUAUGUUCAGUGGUGUCUUGAGAGCGAUACAGGGAAACUCGACCUAAAACCUUUUCUUGUGAUACUUAGAGGGAAAUGUUGGGGUCUUUUUGAUCCCUUGCUGAGGACCUGUUGAAGAUGCCAUCAUGCCCAGGAGUUCCAGCCUCCCAGUUCAUUUGGGUUCCUUUCAAUUAUAUUUUGCAUAGACUCUGCAUAGGGGACCCAGAAAUUAGGGAAUAGGCUCAGGUGAUCUAAACCCCCUAAGUGCUGCUCUUCUGGAUUUGUUGAUUCUGCUUAGUGAUGAGCUAAAUAGUGUUCUGAGCAGAAUGAGCAAGCUAGGGUGCUUGCUUCUAAGCACUUUAUAAUCAAGUGGCGAUUGCAGUGGCAUCUGUGCUCAUCACCCCAAACUGAAAUAUGCCCACCCCAUUUACAAGGCAGCUGGACCAUGACAAAGGCCAUAGGAGAAAGAAAGCUGGUACUGAGAACCCAAAGGGGGAGGAAAGGGUCACAAACAAAGGUCAACAGGAUGGCAUUUGAUGGGGAAUAGAAGGAAAAGCAUUCAUCCCGAGGGACAGCAGAGCAAAGGGGUAGUGAGGUGAGCCACACAGCCUAGGCCAAAAGAUUAGGUGGCUCACUGAGGUCCUGGGAGGGGCAGUGGGGAACAUGACCCCACCCAGAAACUCUUUUCCACUACCUGACCCCCACCACUUACGCUUGAAUUUUACAAGGAGCCAGGAAGCAACAAAUUACAGUCGAGCAAUACAAUGAAGGCAGGGGUAUGUGCACUGGGGAGAGGCCUUUCUAUAACUCAUCUCAGGAGAAAAGAAGGGUGAGGAGAGGGAGAGGAAGCCUUUGCUAGCCCAGCCCAGACCUUUGCAGGGCUGUAGGCACUCAUUUGUGGGCUUGUCAUUGUGACACUGUGUCUGCCCUCCUUAAAGCCAUACAUCUUACUUUCAAGCCCUCCAGUGGCCUUCGACCCCUUGGGAACCCCAGUGUUCUCAGGAUGACCUUUGGCAGGGAGCUGCCUCCCCUCCAAGGCUGGUGGAAGGGACAUGGCACCUCCUGUGCUCUGGCCUUCCUUGUUCCCAGAUUGCCAGCAAGAGUUUUUUCUUCUCCAGGAAGGAGUAGUGCAUCUGACUCUUAAAUCCUGAAAAGCCAAUCAGCUGGAACUUCCAGAAGCCUUUUAUUAUAAUUUCAUAUGUCUUCCUUUACCUCCAAGAUCUGAAGGUCCUCUCAGAGUGACAAGGAGGUUUUAAGUCUUUAGGCUUAAAGACUGUGCAUGGUCUUCCUUAUUAUGUCAGGAAUGGCACUUCUCAGACUUCAUCUCCUGCCUGUAGCAUGAAAAUAACACGUCCACUGUUGGGCUUGGGCCUCAGGCAGGCAGGCCUGAGGUGCAGUCCUUUAUAGUGGCUUCUAACCUGGAUGAACUGGGCCAAUCCCUCUGCUUGUCUGAGCCUUGAUCUGCAACAUGAUCCAUUUUAGCAUUGCCGUGAGCGGGUACCACUCCUAACCAGCAGCCAUAACCUGGUGAGGAAUUUCACUGGUAGAUUAUGUAAAACUUUUAGGCACUAUUUUACUGUUGAGGCCCAGUUAUCUGGAGGAAAACCAGAGAGCCCCUAUGUCGAGGUAUAUAGCCAUAUUCUCUCUGGCACGCAGCUUCUGACCCUUCCUUUGUUGUUCCAGAUCAUAUAAAAGCUGGCAUCGCCCCAGCAGCCUCCUGCGUGGAAAGAGGCAUCUAAGCCCACAGGUGCACUGGGAACAGCCCAGAAAGAGGCCAUUGCAUCUUAAGUUCCCCGGCCGCCCCUACUGUGUCUGCUCUUCUCCAUAUUAGUCACUGCUUUGGCUGAAUGUGUGGAAGACCCCUAUUAAACCCAAGUAGUGUCUGGGAAACACAUUAAGGCCUUAACAGCUGGAUACAAAUUAGUUUAUCAGACAGGGCCUGGGCAUGCAGAAGUUAGGAGUGAGGAGGAGCCUCACUGUAAAGAAAGUGGGUCCACGCACAGACAGCCCCUGACCAGCGAGGCAGCCAUAGGACCAUUGGGGAUGCCAGGCCCACUCUGUGGUCAGCCCCAGCAAGGGCUCCACAAUACUGGAACCCUGCACCUCCCUCCCCUUAGAAUAACAAGAGAGACUACUCUCAAGGGGUGAGCCAAGCUGUGUGUAUGCAUGGAGUGAGGGGGUGUCUCUGCCCGUGAGGGUCAGCACUGAAGUCUCAGGUGCUGGCUUGGAACAGAAGACUGGGAGCUGAAAAAGAGGCCAGCGGCUGGGAGGACCCACACUUCUGGGCAGAGCUACAGAUGAUCAACACAGGUUGAUGUCCUUCCUGUAAUUCACAUCAAAGGCCCUGGUGGCAGAUGACAGGAGCAGGAGGAAAAAGAAAGGCUUUGGGAAAGACAGUACUGGGAAUCGAACUCAGGACCACACGCUUGUAAGGCUGGCGCUUAUGCCGCUGAGCUAAAUCCCCAGCUAGUUUGGUAGAUAUUCAAUAACUCUCCAAGGUAUAAGGUUUUAAGGGACAACUUCUGCCUCUGCAGAUCCACGGGGUCCUGACACCUGCUUGGAAGAGGUAUUUGCUGGGCUGGCCCUGCACUGCUGAACUACAUCCUCAGCCCUAGUUGGCAGGUUUUAAGACCACUUUUUAAAAGAUUAGGAUCAACUCAUUCCCUCUCUCAUUUUGAACACCUUGAACUACUGAAAGGGAUGUGUAGCAAGUUAAUGCCGAGUUCCGAUCCUGAUGGCGCUGGUGGGGAGAGUCUGGGUUCGCAUCCUAAGUGUCUCUGUUCUCUGUUGCAAAGUUUUGCUGUGGGAGCCUGAAAGAGCCUUUCAGGAUACUAAAAGUCGUUAGGGGCCCUUGGGGCCAGAUUAGAGGGUGCUGGGCCCUGGUCCCGGGAGGGGCAGGAAAGUGACUGAUCCUCCAGGGUCUCCCAGGAAAGUCUGCAGCAGGUGGAGGUGGCUGGAGAGCAAACAAAGGCCGUUUCUGCCUGGCCCGUCCCCUCCUCCCGCUAGGGCCGCGGAUGUCCUUUCUCUGGUAGCAGCCAGGUGUGUUUGAAAACACCCAACCGGUCCUUCACAUAGGUCCUUCACGUAGCAGGAAAUAAACUUUGCCAGGGAGGGACGCGUGGGUGUGCGCACAGGGGUGCGGUGUGGUGCCGGUGCACCCAUUCUGCAGCCGCAAUCCAACUGCGCCCGGGGCAGCUGCUGCGGGACAACCUGGGUGAGCGCGGUACAGGUAGAAAACCGGGAUGACGCCGAGCACGCGUGGGGAGAGGCUCGGGCCGGCGGCGCGGGCGCGGGCGCGGGCCGGGCAGCCACUGCCUGCGCGCCCGGAGCCCCCUCUCCGGAUCACACCCUCCCUCCUGCCCCUGGCUGUCCCGCCCACCCGCGCCCUCCUCCUAAGAGUUAAGUACCUCCUCGCUCCGAUCUUCUCUCCGGCUUUCCUCCACCCGCGCUGGCGGCCAGCGGCCCCGUGGAGGCACUGGGGCCCACGCGGGCAGCGGGGCCAGCGGAAGCACGGGGAGCUGAGCUCCCGGCCCCUGCGCCCCCAGAACCCUAGUGCACCGGCUCCCCUGCGCCCCGAGUGCGGCCUCGGGAGCAGCGCAGCGCGUAGCUGAGUGAUUGGCGCUGGGGAGGCCGGGCCGCGCCAAGACUCGGGCUAGGGAUGCCCCAGGGACAAGCGCGGGACCCGGGCCACAGCAGGACCUGGCGCGCGCGCAGGCAGGUGCCUAGCAGCCGCCGCCUCCUCCUUUCCUGCUCUUCCGCUCGCCCAGAAGUAAGAUGAGCGUGAUGCUGUGGCGCUGGGAACAGAAUAACACCACCAUGAAACUGGUAAGGGGGCAGCGCGGACUCCACGCCGGGCGCUGCUCCACUCCCCCCCCCACCCCCGUCCCCCAGGGCCUCUGGAGGAAUUGCGUCCUUUGGUGGAAAGCCCCGGCUACUCGGUAUUUCCCUUGUUGUGAAGAUCUCAGGGUGUGUGUGUGUGUGUGUGUGUGUGUGUGCUCGAAAGGGUGGGGCUGGGUCGCCCCACCUCUGCCGUCCGUCCCUUCGUCGUAGGAAUUCCUGUGGCUCCCAGGCUGCAUGGUGGCCUCCUGGCUGAGCAGAGUCAGCGUGGUCUCAGCUGCCUGCCCAGCACACAGCCCGGCCCACAUUGUAUCCGGACACCUUGGCCAUGCCCCUCUAUCGCCAUGGGGGCAGAGGAUGAAAGGGCACUCACCCGGGGCUCCUCUCCCGCCUCUGCGUGGGUCUUCCUUCCCUGUCCAGCAUGUAAAGAACCACUUAAGCUUUCAGGUCCCCUUUCCUCCUGUUUUUAGAAAUCCACUGUUCCUCCCUCUCCUGCUGCUGCCUCCAGAAGCCUGAGUUCUUUCCCCAUCACAAGCCGGAGACAGGAUCAAGGCUCUUCUCUGGGUUUUGCUUUUGUGGUUUGUUUUUGUUUGUUUGUUUCCCAGUCAAAUAAUUUGGCUCCCCUACUCCAGUCAGCCAGGGAAAUCAGUUGAAACCACUUUGGAUCUUUCUUGAUAGGCAAAGGUGGCAGGCACUCACCUUGUAGAGCCGGUGCCAGGAUAAGAAAUCACAUUUGUGGACUAGACAUGUACUAAGGACUAAAGAAAGAGUAGGUUUCGAGGGUUUUUUUUUUUUUUUUUUUUUUUUUGGUGGUAUUGAGAGUUGACCCCUGGGUAUCAUACCUGCUGUACAAACACUCUAGUGCUGAGCUACAGCCCUUUUUAAAAUUUUAAGACAGGGUCUCCCUGUGUUGUCCAGUGUAGCCUCUGCCUCUGGAGUAGUUGGGAUUACAAUGUGCAUGGCCCUGCCCAGCAGGAGUAUGUAUUAAUAAACUGGAAUCCACACUGAUUGGGGUAAGCUUUUGAAAGAUGCUAUCAAAAAAAAAAAAAAAUCACAGCAGUUGUGUUGGCUACCAACACACUAAAUCAACAUAAGUCCCAUUUGUUCAUGUAACGAACUUAGGUGUUGGAAAAAGUGGCACCUUGUUUUUCACAUUCCUUGUGUUACGUUUGGCCAAUCUGACUUUAAGCUACUAUUUUACAGCACCAUUUAAUGUGCUGUAACGUUAGCAGACGUUAUGCACCUUCACUCAUUGGACUGUGUCGUGAUUCCAGCUCUCUAAUCCUUUCCUGGAAUCCUUCUCCUCCCAGGCUGCUCUGGAGAGCUCAGAGUUUCAUUCAUUUCUCUCCAAGCUGUACCUAAAAUGCCUCUGUAAUAGGUACCGCAGCAAAGUUGGGUCCUGGCCUCACCAGACAGGUUGCUAGACCUAAAGACUUUUAAGAAAAAAUGAAACAGAGUAGUGAUUUGCCAGGCAGGGACCCAUGGAGCAUCCCCUGGGAUGGCUGUUGGAUCAUGGGGCAGAUGGCACCAUUAGGUCUGAGAUGUCCUCUACACUUCAGUACUGCAGCCAUUUGUGUAAGGAGGGGUGAUUUCUUCUUUGUUGUUCAGAGGUCAGCCUUUAUUGUGUCUGUCUGUGCCUUUAGACCUGUCCCACUUUUCAAACUAACUGUGAGAAGCACCUAAGGUAGUUGUGGUCCAGUAAAGCACCCUCAAUCUGUCAGGCAGGGGAGGGGCUGGAGGGGGUGUAAUAACCUAGAAGUAUAUGGGAGACAACAGUUGCUGUUCUGUGUGCCCCACAGCCCCAGAACCCAGGCUGGACCAGGUGUGGCUAGGUCUUGACCUUCAGAGCCUAGGCUAUGCGCAAGACAGGUCUCAGCUCAUCUGCAGAAUCCUAGGAGCCAUGGAUGCAUCACGAGCUGAUGCAUCCUGAGUUUGCUUUUUGUUCAUUGUUAGGGGCAGACUGAUUUGUCAGUUGCUUGCUGUGUGUAUGCCCCAAGCAGAACACAGUUUGGCUGGAGAACCAAGUUAUGCUCAUCGUAAAAGGCUUAGCUGGCGAGUGGUUAUUGGUUUGAAUUCCAGUCUUGCCACUUACGAGUCCCUAAAUCUAUUUUUCUCAUUCGUAAAAUAAGUUUACAGUACUUUUUCCCAAGUAGUGAAAGAAGAAAUGAGAUAAUCUCAUAACAGGACCAGCACGGAGUCUCGAACAUGGGUGUCUCUUAAAUCGGAACAACUAUUACUGUGUUAUUAUUUUCUUCAAGUGUAAAUGAUCAGUGUUGGUCCCCACCCUGUGCUGUGCUGGUGGUUGAGUGAUUUGUUCUCAUGGACUGGGAGAAAACAACUUUUCUUACCUUUGGAUCAUUAGUGGACCUCGGCAGGAAGGAACACCCUGGGAACAUCUUUUUUUUUUUUAUCAGUACCAGGGAUCGAACUCACGACUGCCUGCUUGCAAGGCAGGUGCUUAUGCCGCUGAGCUAAAUCCGCAGCCCCCCUUGGGAACAUCUUAGAAAUCAAUUGUGUGUGGAGACAGCCCCAGAAUGAGGCCCGGGGCUGGAGGUGGGUGCCGGAACUUUUAUCACUGAUGCAGUUCAAUAAACAUAAAGUCAGUUAACUCACAGCUUGAACAUUCACUGUUCUGGUUGAACAGUGGAGCUAAAGGUUCUGCUUUGUGUUUUAUUUUAAAGUUCAUUGGAUUUGAAAGAAAAUAAUAAAUAAAGCCAAGAGUAAUUAAAAGCAGAACUUGCAUCUGGGUGUACUAUCUCUGCAGGAGAAUGUCAAAAAUGCACCUGCCCACCCGGGAUAGAAGGCCAGGAACUGUAGCUCCUAUUUCAAAUGCAACAGGGUCACAGGCCUUUGAUGAAAGAGAGAGGAGGGGACCACUCAGGCCUGAAGCUCUUGCUGGGAGGAGACAACUCUGGAUGCCCUACGUGGGUGGUUCCGAUAUCCUUAUCACACCUCUGCUGCACCCCACCCCAUUUUGUUAGAUUCUUUGGGCUUAGACAGGGCAAGGAGAAACCAACGAGGAGACUCCUGGAGCAGUGUGUGCUCUCUGAGAAGUGAGAGAACCUAAGGUUGGUGAGACAGAAGCCCUAAGACAAGCCACCAUCACUGUUUUCCUGGUGCCAGCGCCUGGUGUUCCAGCAGGGUGCCUGCAGUCGGCGCUCUGCUCAAGGGCUCCUGGCCCUGUAUUGUGAGACCAGUUGCAUAGCUUCUUCCAGCCUUGGUCUCCUCUGCUGUGCAUGGGAAUCCUAGCACCUUGUAGAAACCAGCACGUUGGAGCUCAGGGUCCAGCCAUAAGCUGGUGGGAAGCUGGUGAUUGCUGUUAGGAUUACACAUGGGCCGUGGAGAGGUCCUGUCUUGCUGCCCUGAGCAGACUCAAUUGCAGUACAGUACUCCCAAAGCCUAACUGCACACAGGUCGGGUAGGGAAGAUAUGAGGGUUUGGGAAGGGGGUGUUUUAUCUUAUAGUACAAAUUUUGGAUAAAAAUACUGCUAACAUAACCAUAUUAGUAGCUAGCAUGAGUUGCAUCUUGAAAUGUGUGAUUCAUUUCAUCUUCUCUUCAGCUCCUACAGUCCCAUUCUCCAGACAAGGCCUUUAAGGCUCGAAGAGUUCUGUGACUUCCCUCAGCUCCACACAGUUGAGUGUGCAAGCAGGGCGAGUGCUCCUCUCUAGGGACCACUCUGUGACCUGCGUGCUACCCACGCUGGUCCAGGAGAUACUGGGAUCAAAGAGAGGAAAUCUGGGGUGGGAUGGGUCGGCACCCUUCAGUGUCCAGAAAAAACACUUAGGGGACCCUUCCUCCAAAGGAAGGAGAAAGUAGCCCUAAAUGAAGAAUAAUUGAGAAUAAUGAGGAAGAAGGAAUGUGCCUCUGACCCUUGGCCUUCCCCUGAGAGGCAGGGACCCCCUGGCCUUCUACAGCCAGGCUAACAAGUAGGUCAAAAGAGGUCAGUGGGUUAAAGGGCCCUGCCUUUCUGCGGUCACAUUGCUCACUCCCAGAGGCCAGGCUGCUGUUUAAAAUACUAAUGUUUAAUGUUCCUACAGAACUGAUGGCAAGCCUUUGAGAGCUUUCAAUGAUAUAAAAAGCCCACUGUACCAUGCAAUUUUCCCGUUUCUCUUUUUCUGUCGCUGCCUCAGUUCUUCUCUCCCUUCCUGCCAGCUGUGAUGACUUAUAAAUUCAAAUACAAAUGAUACAUAUUUAACUCAUUCAAUGCAGUGGCUCUUGAUAUAUAAUGUACUGUGAAAUGAUUGCUCCCAUGCUGGGCAUGAUAGUGCAUACAUGUAAUCCAGCACUCUGGAAGGCUGAGGUAGGAGGAUUACAAAUUUGAGUGCAGUUUGGGCAAUUUAGUAGUUUAUUGAGACUUUGUCUGGAAAAUAAAAAAUAACAAAGGGGAUGGUGAUGUAGCUCAAUGCAAAAGCCAUGGAUUCAAUUUUUAGUAUUGUCUCCCCCACCCCCCAAAAAGAAAGAUUAUCACUGUAAUUAACAUUUCCAUCACCUCACUUCAGGUGCUAUUCCUUUUUAUAUGCAUACAGUCUCAUCUCAAUUUAUGCUUUUCUUCUGAAAAGUUCAUUGACACUCACCUGAAAAUAUCAGUAAUUUCACUUUCUAGAGCUUUCUUAUACUUUCCACUAACUGUAUCUGGCAUAGAUUUUGCCACCUUUCAGAUAUUGAAAACAUAUCCAUUUUCUAUUAAGUCUCCACAUCUCAAGGGCAAGAAAUUCCAUCCUUUCCUCAAGGAACCAAGUUGAAAUACAUGGGAACAUUUCUGUCUGACUUUCUGCUGUAGGUCAUGAGCCUGCAGAAAAAAAUGUGCUUUUCAGAAUUGAAACUACAGCGUGAAAGACAGGUUCUGACUUUGCUUAAUGCCUGGGAGGAUGAUGGUUGGGACAGCUGAGGGAAAAAGAGCAGAACCCUGAAAUUAGCAAGUGAGGCAAUACAUUUUCCUUCAUUUUUAUAUUAAUAGAAAUGUAGACAUCUACAGUUGGUCCCUCUGGUGACCCAGCAGUGCUUCCAUUAUUUAUAUAGUUGUUUUUAAGUGGAAAUUGCAAAAAAUAAGUCUUAAAAAUUUUGUCCUGGCUUCUAUUAGAUAUGCCACCCACUUGGAAGACAUGGCUAAGGCUUUCUUUGACAUCUUUAAUGUCUCCAAGACAUGUGAACGAUAAGGUAUGAUCAAAAUCUAUGGUGAGUGUUUAAAUUUUUAAAAAUCUAUCACAGUAAAAGACACAGUGCCAUUAAUCCCACUCAAGGUACAUCCCUCCCUUUGAACAUGCUUAUCCCAUCAUUUUUGCCACAUUCUGAAGCAGUUCGAGAAGUCCUCUCUCAUGAGUGUCUUUAGUUGUGUUGUCAUGGCUGCCUUGAUAUCCUGAAUAAAUUCCAAAGCUUUACCUUUCGUGGUCGUGUUGACUCAGGGGAAGAGCCAGAAGUCACACAGUACCAGAUCCGGUGACCAAGGUGGAUGAGGACACCCCGUGUUUUUGUGAGCCUGCCUUUCCACUGGCUGGCGCUAGGCAGUAGGAUUCACUCUGUUAUGUAUCACAGCUCAUAAAGACAGCCCUGAAAAAGGACUUCCAGACCUGCUUCAGAAAGUGGCAGGAACCAUGGGAUAAGUGUGUCCCAAGCAAGGCAGGGAGCACUUUGAGGGACAUUAAUGUCAUGUGUCUAACUAUACCAAUUUUACAAAUUUAAACAUUCACUCUGUGUUGUGAUCACACCUUGCUGACUGCUGUCAUCCAGGCAGGAAUCAUCCUAAGGGCUCUUCCUGCUCCAGGGCUCUUCCCAAGUGUUGUUCUGAUCCAGAUGUCACUGUAGCUAUGCUGGCCAUGGAGUCAUAGUCACGGAGGUUGAGAAUCAGCAGAGAUGUCCAACUUGCCACUGAGAAUAGGUUAUGAAACAAAAGCUCAGAACUAGUUGAUGGAUAUUUUCUAAACAGCAUAACAAGAAGGAGUGAUCAGGAUAUUUGGGAAGGCUGAGAAGUAGGAGAGAAUUUUCCUGCCACUAAAAAUAAUACUGAUGACCUCUGGUCAUAAUAGCAUAGGGUGUGACAAGGGUGAGCACCUGCGUUAUCCAUUGUCUGCAUCACAGUGAAAGAUGAGCUGUGUGUUUACCAGGUACCUGGUAGGACCCAAAGCAAAACCAAAUCUAUAAGGAAACAAGGUGCUUUACACAGAGAUUUACCUGUUCAAGCAUGUGGUUAAGAGAAUCAUUGUUUGCAGAGGUUUCCAGGACAGGAUUUAUUCCACAGUUCCAGCUCCUGCCCGUUCUCUGGCCUUGACACUAAUGAGAAGCUUCAGGAUUCAGGACUCAGGCUACGUGUCAUAUCCAUGCAGAGACCGUUCAUGGGAUCCUGCUUGCUAGUCCAUGAAUUCCUGCCCCUCCUUAUAUUCUAGGCCCAGUGGGUGAUGGCUGUGUUUUAGACCUUCUUCUACUCGGCCUCCGGGUAGGAGUGGUUCCUUCCUGUGUGUAUGGUCAGCUGGUGGUUUCUGUUUUCACUGCUCCUUCCACCUGCCCAUGUGCUGCCCCAUCUUCCAAAGCUCAGAAGCUGCUUUACUCCUCGGAAGCCCCUCCUGGCUACUCUGUACCCCAGAAACCGUGACGGGCAGUGGUGCGGGCUGCCCUAAAUCCUUGAGUGUUUGCUGUGUGUGCUGUACCUCUGCUUUGACACUUCCAGUAGUGACUGGACACACAGACACAGGGACAGAUGACCUCUGUUUCUUCCCAACUCUGCUGCCAACCAUCAGUGUCCCCUUAGGAGGACAGUCUCUGUUUCAGUCUCCCCACCUGUGAUGGGAAGACAAUUUUACUCAACUUGGGGUCGUGGGGGUCAUUUGUUUUUAGAAUAGCAUUAAAUACAUAAAUAAGUGUCAGCUAUUGUUCUGGUGCUGCUCAACAAAUGUUUUUGAAAUACAUGCUACAGAUGGGGAGCUCUCCUCAUAAAUAAAAAAUUCCCUCUGUUGAAUUUAUAUUUUAGUGGAGGAAACACAUGAUAAGCAGGAUACAUAUAUUUUUAUGGUGCUGAAAGCUAUGGACAAAAAUGUGGCAGAGUAGGAUAGGGAGACGGGAAGAGGUCAGUCCCUAAAGGAGGGCAGGGAAAGAGGGCUUUAUUGUCAAAGUGGUGUGGCUGUGUGAUAAUCAUUAUCACUCCUCAGGGAGGCAUUAUAAGGAGGUGACUAUAAUUUAUUAUCCACACCAGGAUGCUUCUGAGAGUGAAAGGGGAUGGUUUUACUAAUUGCGGUGAGAUAUAAUUGUAAAUUGGUUCUGUCUUAAGCAAACCAAAUGCAUGCAGCACUAUGCUUGGUCACUGCAAAGUCUGAGAGACAGGGUGGUGUCCCAUCUAGAUUCAAAUCCUGAGUUCUUCCCUUUAAGCUGUGAGAUCGUGGGCAAAUCAUUUAACCUCUUUGCACCUCAGUUUCCCUGUCUCUUAUAUAUACCUAAUCGGGUUUUUUUAAUAAAGGAAUUAAAGUGCUCUGUACAGAACCUGACACUUAAUAAGCAACCAGUAAAAAUUCAUUACCACCACCACCAUCGUCAGAUCAAAAUGAAGAGAGAGCUUUUUCCUCAACUCUCACAGUGCCCGGGAGGGGUUGAGGGUCUGCAAGGUGGGCAUUAGCUCUGGAAAUGUAGCUGAGCAGUGGAUUUGGGAGAUGAAUAGUUGUCUCCUUCCAUUGCUAAAGAGUGUAAGAAUGACAAGUGUCUGGACUGGACGCAGAGGCCAGUUGGGGGGCGCUCCCCCCAGUUGUGGUCAGGCAGCCACAAGAGGAGUUGCUGAAUAGAGUCCAGCACUCAGGAUCUCACUCCUCGGACGUGAGUUCAGGAAGAGGCCCGUGACAAGAGGCCUCCAAUCCUCCACUGCACCACAGAGCAAGGAGGGACCUAGAGAACCAAGCGACCCACCCACAGUCUCUGACCCAUUUCAAUGCACCUGCCUUUAUUAUCCUACAGGAUAAUAAGAAUGAGCAAAGAUAGCGCUUAGAAUUCCACCUGGAAAAGCUGUGUUCUUUGGAAAUGGGCCGCAGAUGACGUAACCCUAAUAGAUCCCAUUACUUGAUACUUGGCUAAUCUUUGUAUGAAACUCGUCUUGGUGAAACGCGAGCCUGGAGAAGCCAAUGAAAGUAUAUUACUUUCUCCUUAUUGAAUGCCUCCUAGACUUGGGAUAACAUUUAAUCGAAAGCGUAAGGUGAUACUUCCUGAGAUAGCAGUGAGUUCAUGUUUGGAAAUUAAAUGAAAUGAGUUUGUUGCAUCGGUUGGCUUUUUUUAAAGGCCUACCCGUGGUUGUAAAUGUUCUCUCCACAAAGAAAUAUCUGGCUGCUGCAUGGAAAGGAGUGGGGAGCUAGAGAGGUUGUAGUUUUCGGUCCUUUGAAGUUGUUUUGCUCCUCUCUUGUGAGGUACUAUUCCAGGUUGAGCCAUUUUUAAAUUGAACCUUUUUUAUUUUUCUAUUAGGAGUCAAACCUGGGCUUUUGCAUUGAACUGUAUUUCCAACCCCCUUCGUGUUUUUUAUUUAAAGACAGGGUUUUGUUGAGUCACAAAGUCGCUCAAGUCGGGUUUGAUCUUACAAUCCUCCUACCUCAGCCUCCCAAUGUGUACUACCAGCCGGGUUAUGAGGAUGCACAUUUGAAUAGAAGUUGAAUACCAAAUAGGUUUGUCUUUGGUUGUGUUUCCUGAACACAUACCGCAUGCUCUCUGCCCUUUUCCUUCACAAGGUGUUAAUGCUCAGUAAAGACUGCACACUUACCUUAUACCAGUGGACCUCCUUGGACAGUAAGUUGGUUCCGGGUCUCCUGGCUCUGGCUACAGUUUGGUUCCUGCCAGCAGAGAUCCACUGCAGAGUCCAUGUUGGUUGAGUGUUUUGGUUCUGUAGCCCAGCUGCUUGGCAUGUCCUGGAUGGUGGCAGGUAUUCCAGGAUUAUUUUAAAUACUUGCUUCUAGGUGAAUCCCCAGACAGAUUAGGCCUAGGAAACAUGAGAAUGCAGAGAUCCACCUGGUCUCCACCCUUUGCCUGCCUCUUCCACUCUCUGUCCCCUUUACCUCCUUUCUCUUACACCCAUUCUCAGAAGAGAACACCUGUACCCUACCUCCCGUGUAUGGCCGUGGCACUCCCAGGUGGAGAGGCGAAACAGAGAAAGAACACCAGAGGGGCCUGCUGGAAGUAAAAGAGACUGUGUAGCAUGGGAUGCCUGCCUUUAAACACAGUCAGGUGAACUGGGCUCCAGCAGAGUCUGAGUGGGGGUUUUGCUGAGACCCCUGCAGAUUACAAAGCCUGUGAUGUUCUCAGUCCCUAUAAAAAAGAUCAUUUUUGCAUAAAACCUAUCCACAUCUUCUUGUAUGCUAUAAAUCUCUCUAGAUUACAAUUACUUGUACUACCAAACACAACUUAAAUGCUGGGUAAAUAGUUGUUCUACUAUAUUAUUUAGAGAAUUAUAACAAGAAAACAUCUGCACGUUUGUUACAAAUGGGAUUGUAUUUGGAAUAUUUCUGUGCACUGUUGGUUGAAUCCUUAGAUAUAAAGAACCAAUCAUGCUACCCUUUGCCUGCCCUGGCCUGGCCCUGUGUAUGGAAAAGAGUGACUUAGGUUUGAGGAGAAGGCUGGAAAACUAACAGACCAUCUUUCUCCUGGAAACCUAAAUGGAAACAGAGGGAAGACGUGAGAAGUCCCAUUCUUCCCCAGCGAGGUUUCCUGCUGCCAGGGUCUCCGCACAUUAGCUGGGGCAGCUAGAGGGGCACAGAGUGAACAUAUUGCUGCAGAUGACUCCACAAGACCUGAGAGGCAGCUGCUGAGUCCUGCCCAGGACACAGGCAUCACCCAGAGGUCACAGAUAAAGCAUAUCAGGGAUGAGAGGGAGGUUCCCUGACUAAAGCAUUGAUUUUAGCAACAAAAAGAGCUCAGUCCAAAUCACUGCAAGCUUGGAGAGAUUGUUUAUCUGUGCUUCGGUGUUUCUAUUGGGAAGAUUAGUAUUAUUCCUUAGGAAGCUGGAAGUCUUAAAGAGAUACCUGAGGGACAGUAAAUGACAUACCUGGGAAGGUUCUGGAAAGUCCAGAAGCUGAAUUCAGACUCAGCCAGAAUGGGGUGUUUUCAGAGAAGCCCCCCCGCCAAGUCCUAGAACUUGGAGCAGGGCUGGGAAAAGAGGCAGAAUUUGCUGUAGGAAAAAGGAAUGAUUGCAAGUGGGGUGAAUAAAAAGUGUAAAAGAUUCAUGUUUUCUUGGUUUUAAGACAUUUCUUUCAUAAUGCCACUAGCAGGAAAGUGGCUUCUGAGUCCUAGGUUCUCCUGGCUCAGUGGAAAAGGACUCUCUCCUCCUCUCCUUUGGACCCUAGGUGCCAGGCCUGCUUCUAACUCCAUUCCAAGUAGAGUGGUUCGAAGGACAAUUUAACGUGAAUACUUCAGAUUUAAUGUGUCCCAGAUGCACUACACAUAAGCUCUCAUCCUGUGCCCCAUCCCCAUUCUUCCCUUUCCUGCAAAAUAAGGCUUCUUAGCGUUGGUGCUGAGUGACAUUUGAGGUCAGGUACUCUUUUGCUGUGGGAAGCCAUCCUGUGCACUGUAGGAUGUGUAGCAGUACCCUGGCCUCUACUCACUGGGACUUGCUUAGUGAUAACACCCUUGAAAAAUGUUUCCAGAACUUUCUUGGUUGAGAUUUCCUGUAGUAAAUAAUCUCACCUGUUAAGCUUGAGCCUUUGUCUUUGAUUUCUCCUCAACCACAUUCUUUUGUUCCAGGAGAAAAUACUUUUGUUUGAAACUCCCCAGUAGACCUGAGCCCUGAUAUCUCUAUCUGCAGAGGUCUCCCUGCUGGUCUCCAUGGUUUCACUGAUGUGGCUUCCUGCCUGUUGUCCAUACAGCACCAGAGCUAGGCAUCAGAUAGGUGCUCAGUAAAUAUCUAUUGACUAAAUAAAUGCAUUCAUCUCUUCAUUUCUCCUGACAUAGAGAGGUGUCAUUUCUCUCGUGUAAAACCAGAAACAGCAGAUCUCUGAAUUUAACCUUCCAAGAAAUUAAGUAAUAUGCCAGCUUUCUUCUUUGAGCUUCUCCAGACCAUUAGCACCCUUCCUACUGAAUACAAAAUGCCCAAGAAAUCAUUACUGAGUAGACAAAUGACUCAUGCUUACAGGAAGUAUUUGGGGCAUGCUAACAGAUUAAAAUGAACAGCAUUAAGCAAAUAGUAGAAGCAUAAGGAUCCAUUCUUUGAUCUUUUCAAACCUUUGGCAUAGAAGCUUUGGUCUCUUGCUUCCAACUCUGAGGUUAAGACACUGAUGCUUCAUUGUUAUUUUAGCUUUUAGAAGUAACUGGGGCACACAGAGGGCACACAGUCUGGGCCCUUGGUUGCCAUGUAGUAAAAUGCUGACUUGAAUCAAGACACCUAUGAAAAACAGAAGAGAAUCCAGUCACAUUGGUACUCAGGUCUCAUCUUGGGAAUGCAUCAGUCAACAGGUCUUGAUUCGACACAGACAAAUUUCAUAUCCUCUGAGGAUUUACUAUCCAGGAGGAAAGAUAAAGACUUCGUUGGUUAGGGUAGCAUAUAAUCAUGCUAAACAGCACAGCACUGUUUUGAACAUCUUUUUGAGUUGCUUUGAAAAAGUAUGGAGGCCUUUUGCCCUUUCUGGACCAGACUGAGCUGUAGGAAGCAUGGAGAAGUAAUGAAGAUUCUUUACAUUCUCAGACUGCUUUCUGGGAAUCCCGCGAAGUCCCCACUUCUUCUCUGGUUACCCUUCUCAUGGCUCGGUUCAAGAGCAUUUUGCAAACCUGGACUUUGAAUCUGGGAAAAUGCUUUAUGACCAUUUUUAUGACUUCAGAGAAAUUCACUAAGGCAAGUUAUUUCCUCAUCUUUGCCAAAGGGAGGAAACUUAAGGGCCUGGUCAGUUGCCCAGGAUCUCCCAGGCUCUGAUGCUCACUUGCAGUGGCUCUUGUGAGCCUGGCCACAUGCUGUCCCCUUCUAGUAGAUGUGCUCUGGCUGCUUGGGGAGGGGCCAGUCAGCAGCUGCAGCCUACAUUGUUACGGACUCCAUGUCUUCCUCAGGAAGGAGGAAAGCCCAGUUCAGAGAACCGUGCACCCUCCAAGCUGCAAGCUUCUGAUGCUGAGUUCUGGUCCCAACCAACUCCUUUAAACUUGGGCCAACUGACAUCCAGAGAGGGAAAGUGAUUUGCUUAAGGUCAUAGCCCUGUCUCUGAUUUCCAGCCCAGUGCAUAUUUUUUUAUUCCAGCACUGUUGUCUCUUAUUAGAAAAUAACCUCAGUACCAUGAGUGCUUAUUCUCAGAGGCAGAACAGAAUAGUGAGCUGGACAAAGGCUUUUUAAAAUGUGAAGUACUUUUUGAAGAUAACUAUGCGAAAUAACAACCUUUGUUAAGUUCCUACCACCUUGUUUUGAAAACCUAUAUUGUUAUUGCUUGGGGGAGGUUUGUUAUUAUUAUUUAUGUCUCUUUUGUUGCUUGUAUUUUUUGUUUUGGUUUUCCCCUCUUUAAAAUAAUAAUAAUAAAAAAUGUGAGGUACUUGGGGUAAUGGUUAGAACCAGGCCUCCGCUAGGCUGCCUCAGUUUCCAUUCCAGCCCAGCUCUUCUUCGUGGUGUCCCUUUGCUUGGUUCAUUGGGGGUGUCAGUUUUCUUCAUCUGUGAAGUGGGGGGUAAUCAGAAUUCCCCCCAGCCUGCUUUUACAGGAAGGAUUAAUGAGCUAGCGUGUUGCAAGGGCUCAGAACCCUACCCACCACAGCACUAGACCACAGAAAUGUCACUCACCAUAUCUUUGAGUCCCAAGUGUUGUUCGCUGGCUCUGUGACCCUGGAAAAGCUACUUGACAACCCUGAACCUGGCUUCCUCCUCUGUAGGAAUAAUCCUGGCCUAGGUGGUAGAACAGAUUAGUGAUCAUCUGUCCUGGCACCUCUUUGUAUUUAAUGGUCGCAUUUUCUCCUGCCUCCCAAAAUAUGCAAUGUAGGCCUGACAUGGGCCCCCGAGAGGACUCUGAGGGCUGGGCCUGCUCCCUGGUCUAGGGAAGACCUGCAGCUUCAUUUGCUUCCAAAGAACAUUUCCUGCGCUUUUUAUUUGUCUGCAUUGAUUGGGCACUUGCUGAGUGGCACACACUCUUCUGGGCUUUUGCAUUGCAUUAUCUUGUUUAUUUGUACAUUAAUAGUGCCUGCAGCGUAAGGACUGUCAUUGUCCCUGCUUGAUAGACGAGGCAGCUGAGUGUCGGAAGGUAAUAACUUACCCUAAGUUGCAUUGUUAGUGAGGAUGAAAGCCACAUACUUGGACCCAGAUCAGUCUAGCUUAGUUUCUUGCUGCUCAGAACUGUGCUAGGCCCUGGCUGCAUAUGAGUCCUGUCCGAGUUGGGAUCACUCACAGGAACAACACCAAGGGAGGCUGGGGCAUCUUCCUGGGUUAAUCAUUACCGCUUCACUAGCUGCCAACCGACAAGAUGCAAGGCCAAGGAAGUGCGUGGUGCAGGUCCUCCCCCGCCCCGCCCCUCCGGCCAGCAAGCCACACCAUCCACUGGGGCCUACGAGUGCGCCAGGUCCGCCAAGUUCCUUUCCCUGCGCGGCCCACGACUGGAGCCCAUGAGGGACACCCUGGUGGGGACAACAGGAGGACGCUGUGCCUGGGAACUGGUCAAAGGGGACCUCGAUCUGCAAAGAAGCUCUGGCCACUCACUGCUGGUGAAAGCACACAGCAGGAGAGUUGGGUGCGUAGACAUAUUUCCACCCCCAAAAGUGUUCCUAAGUGAGAACAUCAGUGGCUGUCACUUUUUUUAAACCAGGUGAGACUGUAGGGCACUCUGCGGUUGGGCUGGAAGCCCAGACCAUAGCCAUCCUGAGGGUGGGCACUCAAUUUCCCUAGAGGAGGCCUGGCACAAAGCAAAGGGGGCAGCAGGUGGGAGGUAUGGGAAAGUGUGGGACUUGGGAUGGACUCAGACUCCAGCUCUGCCUCAUCCUGUUACAUGCUUUGGGGCCUGAGCCCACUCCUGUUUGGACAUGGUCGUUCCUCCCCGCCUAGGACGACGUUAGCAGGGGUGUAUGUUGAAUAUGGGAGCAGAGGUGCUAAUGGGAUGCCCAGCCAAGGAGAGGGUUGGCAGACAUCUUUCCUUUGCUCUCUGUGCACAGCAGCAGUGAUUGAGGGGUGGACUGAGCAUGGGCAUGCUUGUUCUGCACAUGCAGGGGGAUGGGCUGAUAUGCCCAAUGGUCCAGGGAGAUCCCUGAACACAUGUGCUAGGUAUAGGUCCCAGACUUGAGGAGCUCCUGUGCCAGCGACAAUCUUACCUGCCAUGAGUCCUCAGCUUCCUCCUGUCCCCUGUAAAUUCUACUGGAAGUUCGGGGGGCUUGAGCACUGGGGCAUAGCCUCUCCACCUGCCUGGCACAGGCUUCUCCAGCCCCUGGGAUCUUUGUGCCAAGCCUGACCCCUGGUCCAUAGCAGACGGGGGCAUUGCUUGAAGGGUAGGGGAGAAAAAACUCUGCUUCCCUCUCUCUGUUGCCACUGCUCGGCUGCUCUGGUUUAUUUAUCUCUGUCUGUUUGUGGGACAUUUCUCCUGCUUUAGUUAAGACUCCAGCUGCAUUAAUCAGUACCCUUAACACUCUUAUCUCGUCCUUUCUGGGUUUACUGAAGCAUAGUGCCCAUGCAUCUUCUUCCUGGAAAGUUAACUUUAAUUCUGGAGAGAUUUUAGGUGCUUAACUUUGCAACUGCAAAGUCAGGAGAGGCUGGCAUUGUGAAGGAGUGAGGAGUCAGGGAGAAGCAGGACAUGCACCAGGGCUUGGUUUUGGAUGAGUCAUUGUUCUGUGGCAAAAUUAGAGAUGCUGCUUUGCAUUUAUCUCUAUAUGUACGUAACAUCACAGCGAUUGAUUGAUGUUAACUUUGAAGUUAUCUUUUGUUGUUCGUCUUGGAUUUAGAGUUAUAAUCAGUUUCACUAUUAUUAUAAUUCCUUAGAAAAGUCAGCCAAGUGAGCUGAAUUUCCAGCCAAAUUGUAAUGCCUUCGCUUUUCUCCCUUCUUCCUAUCUGCUCACCAGCCUCUUGCCCCAGCCUCCUGCCAUUGGACCAUUCCAGUGACCUGAGCUCCCUAUUUCCCUCCAGACCUCACCUCUUCAGGCUGGUUUCCCUACAGGUGACCAGAGUGACUGAUGGAAAACUUAAAUAAUGUUGUUUUGUUCCCUGUGAUUCCAUGGCUACCCACUACACACAAAAUAAACUCCAUCCCCCCAUCAUGGCCAGGAAAGCCAUUGUCAUCUGGACCAUGCCUGCCUCCUGAUGUCUUCAUCAUGCCCUUGUGUCCUCAACUGUGGGCAGCUGGGACUACUUCCUGUUCGCCUGGCUCCGGAGCAUGCUUUCCUAUGAUGCUUCUUUCUCCUUUCCCAUUGAAUGCUCCCUCAGCUGAGGCUUCAUGUACGAUCUUUUUCUUUCAUAUAGUAAAACUGCCUACUUUUAAGUGGCCCUAGUUAUUACCCUUCUCAUCCAUGACUUCAGAGACCCAUCUGCUUGAACUUUUACUGAAUACCUGGUUCCUGGUACAGCAUCAAACAUUGGGACCACUAGAUAUUUGCCAAAAGAAGGAAUGACACAGUUCUUGAGCAGGGUCUUCUGAAAAGAAACUUGAAGUUAUUCAGAGGCUUCCUUCCCACCUACCUAAGCCAGCAACAGCUCUUCUCUCCCUCUGACUGUCGGGAUGCCCUGCCAAGGACACUGUAGUUAUACCUAUUAUGUUACAGGGUGCUGUGUUCCUCACAUCCUCUAUGUGAGCCCGGUCUGGUUAACAAGAGCUCUGACCCUGGGCCCCUCUGUGGCUGUGGAAGAACACAACUCAUUUGCCUGGCACAGCAGGCACAACCCCAACUUUAGAAAGCACUGGAAGCCAGUGUGUUGACAGUGACUAUAACUGCUUUCCCAGAAGACUUUUUUCCUUACCCAGGGCAUUCUCAGAUGUAUGUUGUCACAUCUCUGCUAAAAACGACCAUGGUAGGUCUAUAGAGGCGUUGGUUCACGCUGCCCUAUUCGCCAUGAGACAGUUUUUUUGCUGUGCUGCUUAUUGUCCUCUUGUGUCCCGUUAGGAUGAGUAGCUGGAGAAAAGGUCCCAAGUGCAUAGUUAUGGAACAGCUGGAGAGAAAAUGCCAGCCUGUUUUCUUUUCUCAUGUAACUGGGAACUUGUCUUUUGGAAUUUCUUAGCUAUGUGACCAUAGCUCUGUCGGUUUUUCCAGUUAACUUUUGUUCAUUUGAUAAUUAGAUGUAAAUUUCUCCCUUACCUCAACUCUAAGACUUGGUGUACUGAAAGCUGCAUUCAGAGAAAACAACUUAAAGACAUCAUUGAAAUGCACAUGGUAAAGGAAAAGACAGGUUCAUCUUGUACAGUGUCCUCUAGACCAGGCUUGGUCAUUAACUUAAGGCCCUGGGCCACUGCCACAUCUGUCACAGGACAUUCCUGCCACUAGCUGAUUUCCCUGCAAGACCAAGUUAUUCCCAAGAACUGGAGAAGCAGGACAGAAUGUUAUUUAAAGUGGAUUGUGAGCAUUCUCAGAGCCAUCUCGCACUAUUUUGAUAAGCUAAAUAGAUUAGAUAUUUGAAAUUCCUAGUGUGUAUGUUCAUAAGUGUUGAUGUUCAUGUCACCAAAGUUCAGCCAUUCUUAUUCUAUAUUUGUAGUUUUACCCAUAUUUCUCUGCCACUUGUGUUACUUACUUAUUUACUAGUUUUCUUCAACUUAACUACAUACUUCAACUAAGUUUAUAUGAAGAGGACACUCUGUAUUUUAACUGUAGAAUGCAAAGGUAGCAUUAUUGGGCAUAAUACAAGGUAAUCAUAAAAAUACAUAGUUAUAAAAAUAUAAUGUCCACCAAGGUAGAGUCUAGAAUAUUAUAGAAUAUACCACCAGUGGUUCAUCUGUCACACUUUGUGAAACAUAGAUAUUUAAAGUAAGAUUUUUUUCUUUUUUGCAGUGCUGGAUUUUGAAUCCAGGGCUCAGAUAUGCUAAGUACAUUGUUUACCACUGGACUAUAUCCUCAGAUCAUAAAUAUUACUCUUAUUGACCAGAAAGAAAGACACAGGGAACAGGGAAUAGGAGGCACUACUGAAGUUCUUAGGGUUGUCAGAAAAUUUUGAUUUAACACUCAGAGGUGAAUUUACCUCUUCAGGUUGAUUAGAAAAUGUGGUGGGAAUUUGUCUUGUGGGCAGAUCUGCUUUUGUCCUUUCAUCUUGCCAUGGAACAUAUGUUGGCAGUUACUUCUUUUCCUAGCAUAAGAUUUUGUAGGUGCUGUGAGCCCUCCUUGGUUCUGGGCAUGGCUGGAUAAUACACUCUCACUGGUCAGUUCUGCAGACUGUAAUGGCUGGGAGACAUGUUCUGAGAAGGUGCUAUUUAGGUCGAGUUGGCCCCAGAGAUGAAAAUAAAUCUGAAUCCCUGAUACCGUGGUCUAUUGGGCAGUUCCUAAAAUCAGACCUAAGCACUGAAGUGCGUAUAGCUUAGGUGAUACAUCGUUGCUGAGCUUAAAGAACUAAAGGGAAAUUGGGGAUUAAUCAGUAGGGGUCAAGGAACUAGGAACUCAAGCAGAAAGGAAUUCAAUAUGGGGGAUUGGAUACUUAGAGAAUUUCUGGAAGAACAGAAAUUAAGAGGGUACGGUUAGAUUCUUGGCUUCAAGGCCAAACCGCCUUAGUUGAGCACCUAUAGGUCUCAGUUAUAGUGUUCGUGGAGUUAAGGCCGAGAUCUAUGCAGCAAAAAUCCUAGGUACAGGGUAACAAGGAAGCAGUACCAGUGAGAUCACGGGAAGGAGGGGAAAGUUUAGCUUGACCUGGGCCUUGUUGAAGUCUGGAAGAGAAUAUGGUCUGCAAGUUCUUGGUCAGGGAAGGUUGGAGAUGGAGCUGGGUAAUGCUACCACCUAUGGGCUGCCACGAGGGCUUGAAAGUCUCCAGCUUCCCCUUUCUCAAAAAUUAACUUGGCGCCUGGCAUUGUACUGACAAUGUGUUACAUGCAGCAUUUCAGUUCUUCUUCAAAAUGUCACUUCUCUUCAUCAUACUCUCAGUGUGUCUAAAUAACCCACUCAUUGAUAUUAGACAGCUGAGCCAUGGGACAAAAUUUAGGCAAGGCUGACCCAGAAUCCAGCAUGCUGCAUUGAGAAGCUAUACUGCCUCUUCAUGGUGGGAAGGGACGGUGAAGGUGAGACUGAGGGACAGAUAUUGUGAGUCCUGAAGAUCAGGCCAAGGAUUUGAGCUUGACCUCAGAUGAGAAGGUGGGGGUUGUCACUGGAGGUUGAGGGCAAGACAGUGACAUAAUGGAGAUGCACAUGCCAGUGGAUCUAGCAGAAGGAUGUGGGCUUGAUGGGCACAAGUAAAGGGCAGAGACCAGAGAGCUGCCAAGAGACAAGAGCAGUCGUGGAGCAUUUUCUUCACCCAGGUUUUUCCCCUCCUUCUUCAGUGGUUUUUCAGAGCAUGAACUUUUUCCCAACCAUGCCUGGAUCUCAGGUGGCUUUAGGUUUUCACUUUGGCCAGUGAAGCCAAAGUGUUUUUCCUUUACUCACUAAUAGCUUUCAUCUUUGACCAUGGCCCAGGGUCAACAUUCAACCACCAUUUGUUCUCGUUGUUUCUUUUUUGUGUUGAUGUUGAAUGCCUCGACAGUGGCACAGAUGACCUGUCUUUCUACUUGGUUGACUGUGCUCAUGGCAGUGACUGGGAAUGGUCCAGCCCACGUGGACACAGACAAUGAGAUGUGGGGCUUUGGGCUGAAAGGAGCCAGUUCUAGGUCCGCACAUGAAUUUCUGAAUUCAGAAACUUGUGCCUUGAAUCUCUCUAUUCUGCCCCUUUGUGUGUGCGUGUGGAGGGGCUUAUAGGUCUUGAGGACCUCAGUUACCUUGCCUGAACAUCAGUCUUCCCUUCUGUAUUGUUGAGACAAUAAUAUUCCUCAUCAGGCUAUCACAGGAACUCAGUGAAGUCGUAAGUACAGUGUUUAUCAUGGUGGACAUGCCUACGGGAGGAGUGCUGGAAACAUUUUUCACCUUCCCUCUAUGGCCUUUUGGGGUCUGUGGGAGGUGGUUCUGACCAGUAGAAGUCCAUUGUUGUGAGCCUCGUCCUACUCAGUCCCAAGGCUUAUUUCUAGUGGUCCUGGUCUUAUCUCCUCUUUCUGGUGCCUGGCCAAGGUCUCAGCAGAGACUGACACACAUUUUGACCUAGAAGAAGGACUAAUGAGCCAGCUCCAUCUCAGUUGUCUCCCAGUGAAUCAAAGUCCAUGCCAAGCACCAGCUGAUAGUUCAUCUGGCAGAUACAGUGAACUUGCUAAGUCCUCCUCAUUCAAAUGUCUGUGUAGUUUCUGUAAUUGGCUCAAGUGUGUCCCCUACCAACCCUGCCUGAGCAGCACCUGAACAUGAACUCCUCGACCAUCACGGCAUCUCUGCCACUGCGAAGAGCUUGAAGCUUUUGCAGGUUUCCAAGCAUCUGACCCAUAUGAUUCCAAUGACGUUUGGGAAUUUUAAUCUUCUGGUUAUGGGUUUCCUAGUUUGAAAUUGUUACUGCCAUCCUCCUCUGCUGUGGGAAAAUGGCUUUGAAAAUAUGUGGAGGAGUAGUUUGGGAGGAGUGUGAAUGACAAGAAGGGACACUUCUGGGUCGCUGGAAGGGAGCUCUCACACUUGUUUCUGCCUGUGACUGAAGCACUGCUUUAGUGUGACUAACUGCUUCAGAAACAAUGUUGGGGUUGUGGGGGGGCUUGAAAUUAACACUGUGCUAAACUUUAUGUUGAGUGUUUACCUGGGUGUGUCACAGCUCCCUUCACAUGAAUCCCACUGUCCAGACAGAUAAAAACCAAGGGUCAGCUAUGGUAAGUAAUUUGUCUCAUGUUCCAAAGUGAUUGGUUGGUGGGGGGGAUUAUUAAAUCUAGGUUGAACUGACUUCAAAUCUUCAGUUUUCCCACCUUAUAGGACUCUAUCCUAUUAACCUGUGGAUUCUUGAGUGCAAACUCCUCAAAUUCAUGGCUCUGCAAUGCUAGAACUAAAUUGGCUGGUGAUCUUUGAACCCAAGAGGGGGAACGACAGCCAGUGGGGGCAUCAGACUCUGGAUCCUGCAGGACUUCAACAAGGUCUCAGCCAGUGUGACUUCGUCCUGAAGGAAAGUGAAUGAAAUGUGAAGUUUCAGCAGGGCAGUGGUGGAAAGCCACAUCAGCAGUGAAGGCCGGCCCUGUGACAAUAUGCCAGUCACUCUCCCUUUCCUGUUGGUUGGUCAACACAUUCUUCUGCCUGUGUGAAUUCUCGGAAGACCUUGAUUUGGGGCUCCCAGGAUAGAUCAUUCUCAUGGCAUGUAAAGAAGAGUGAAAGGGGAUUCCAGAUUCUAGUCACUGAGUUAGUCCUACUAAUAUUGAGACAAUCAUCUCCCUGUUGUCAAAACUCUGCUAAGAAGCAAAAGCCCCGGAUGAGCAGUGUGAAUGACCUAGUAGGUCUUCUUUUGGGCAUGUAGUUGCCAUUUGCAAUCAGUUAUCAGUUACAAGGACUCUGGGUACACCUGGGUGCCAGGCCGCAGCUGGCCAGGUUGCCUGCUGUACUGGCACAGGAGGAGAGGCAUGCUGCUUCAGGGACUCAUGGAACCCCUCCCUCACCCCAGUUUGAGAAAUUCUUUCUCCUGCCUCUGCCAGUACAGACCAACAUUGGCACAUUUUUCCCGCUGAGCUUGUGCAAACUGUUAAGAGACCGGGGUCCCAGAGGCACUAAUAGUGGCCACAGCAGCUGGGUAGGUGCCUUCUGAGCCCAGACUUUCCUUUCUUGAUUCCCCCUCCCUUAUUCCUUAUAUGUCAGCAGGUCCACCAGUGCCCUGAGAAGCCCUACGUUGUGUACUUGAGGGACUUUCAGCAGUCAUUAGUAGGGAGCCAAAACACAGGAGCUUUUACACGAGUAACUUUUUUUUAGGUAAAAGCCCUGGGCCCUGCAGAGAAAAUUCUGCUUCGACUAAAUUGCUUUACUCUGAAAAUUCAGGCCCUGAACUGAUCGUAAACUAAAUUACCCUGAAAUGUAAGCUGAGACUCUGGUUGGCCAGCUUGGUUGGCAAUUCUUUGUCUUUCUAAAGAGAGAGAAAAAAGAAAGGACGUACCUCUAUCCGUAGGUGUGUGUGUCUGUACGUGUACACCUGUGUUUUCCUUGCACCAAGAUUGCAGAGUAAGAGUGCCUGGGAUGAAGCCAGGUCCCUGGUACCUGCGAUCCCAGGCUGGUCUCUAGUCUUGGGUGAUUUUUUUAUGCUCCCAGAUUCGGAAGAUUUCCACAACAGGGAGACAAAGUGAGGCCGGAUGAACCCUGGGGUCUCACCUCGGACCCAAAUGUGUGCUUUAAUUCGUGUCAGAUAAGUUUCCCCCAUGGGAUUACAGAUUGGGAAUUUCAGAAGCACAACAGAUAACUUUAUUUCUGCAGGGAGGUUUUAUUUUUAACCCCUGAAGUAACUGUAUAGUUUAUUUUUCCUUAUCCGAUUGCGAUCUCCCCAGUUGCUGACAGUUCGCCUUUGAAAUGAACGGCUUUGAUCAGGGAUGUGGCGGCCAGACAGGUCAUUUUUACUGUCUUGUAACUUAGUCCAACCAGUUUGGCAAGAGCAAGGCCACAUCCCAGGGUAGGGAGUGGAAAUUGUGGAUGUAGAGUUCGGCUUAGUUAACGAAGCCUCAGCCCCUGGCGGUACCCUCCCUUCCCUGCACCCAGGGGUCCUGGCAAAGCAGCUUUCUUUGCCAGCCCUUCUCUAGGGCCAUAGAGGUGAGCCUACUGUUCUCACCUCCCACACCCCUCGCUUUGCAGACCAGACUUCUGAAUGGUAAAGCUUUGUCUUCACUUGUCCUGGUCCAUUUCUAGGGCCCCGCUUGCCCCAGGAUAGUUCAGGAUCUUCAUCUUUGUCAGGUAGGACAGACAGCCUGUGGUUCUGCCAGUGGAAAUUCAGGUCAGGCAUGUGGACCUUGGUGGCCCUUCAGGUCAUGAGCCAGGGUGACCGUACUGGUGUUUGUGUUGGCACGAUGUGGCUGAACUGGAAUAUGCUGGUCUUCCGGAGGCAUGGUGAGAAAGGACAGCUUCCAGAGGAGUAAGGCUAGUCAGGUUUGAACCCCAGCACCAUCCUUACCAGCUCGGUGAUCUUGGACAAGUUAUGCUGCCUGAGCUUAAAAUGUAAAAUGAAUAAGGUAACAGCCCAGACCCUCCAGGGUUGUGAGGAUUCGAUUAGAAGUUCGUGUAAAGCCUCCGUGUAUGUAUGACAUGCAGCGUGUAUUAAAUAAACACUGAAAUCAC
Cavia porcellus (domestic guinea pig) is the source of this 78329-nucleotide long non-coding RNA. RefSeq lists it as uncharacterized. The transcript is spliced from 2 exons. NCBI's taxonomy places the organism in Eukaryota, Metazoa, Chordata, Mammalia, Rodentia, Caviidae. The record is from RefSeq and is a predicted model, not a curated record.